Long non-coding RNA from Mus musculus (house mouse), 58668 nucleotides. RefSeq annotates it as predicted gene, 51671. NCBI's taxonomy places the organism in Eukaryota, Metazoa, Chordata, Mammalia, Rodentia, Muridae. The transcript is spliced from 2 exons. The record is from RefSeq and is a predicted model, not a curated record.
UGUGUGUGUGUGUGUGUGUGUGUGUGUGUGUGUGUGUGUGUGUGUGUAUUUGAGGUAGCGACAGAAGGAGAGGGGGCUUGGGAGGAAAAUUCAAGAACUGUGCAGUAGUCAUGUAGUAGUAGUCAUGUAGUAGAAAGGGCAGCACCAUGACAUAGACAUGUAGUAGGUAUGUUGAAGAAAAGUCCAUCAUCGUGUAGUAGACAUGUAAUAGAAAGGGAGGCAGAAGUUACAUUCGUGCUGAGCAAGGCCCUCCGUGUGUAUGUGGUCCUGUAUCCAGUAACCAGUUGUCGAGAGACAAAGCCAGUUUGUACCACAGGCUGGCUACCUGGCAUGGAAGAGUGUGGUGACUGGGAUGGCCUCUUCUCCACAUAAUGCAGAGAGAAUAAACUGGCCAUCUGCAACCUAAAUCACGGCUACCUUCCCUUCCAAUAGAAACAGUCUCUCCGUAGGAGUCAAGAUAAAGCUGCCCUUUCUUCUUCUUACCUAAGACUCUGGUUGCUCCCACGUAUCUCCAUCCCCCGAGCAUGCACUGGCAUCUCUGUGAAAGCCGUACUGCGCUCCCUAAAGCCACAUCUCCUCACAUUUGGUGUGCAGACCCACACCCGAGACUAGGCCUUCUAGGCCUUUUCCCCGAAUCUCGUAACUCUUGAUCCUACUUCUAGGAAGGACUUUGGCGAACAAGACCAGUUCCAAAUUUAAAAGCAAAUAUCAGAGUUUCCUUUGCCCACUGACUUCUCCAGCAAAGCUAGCCAUGUGACCACUAGGAGGAGAAAGGAAGCCCUGCUAAUUUUUGAAGGAGUAUGACUGGCCAUAAUGAGGGAAUUCAUAAAGGGAAAAAAUGUGAAGUCCGGAUAGAGGUCACAAUGCAAACACAGCAUAGGCCCAGGGUGGCCAAUCUGAGCUGCAGAUGGUAAGUCUGCUCUGUUGUAGGGGCAAAGGAAGCCAAACUGAAAGCUGGAUAUAGGGUCUGCCACAGGGACAUUGGUUGAGAACAUUUCACCCUCCCACCAAGAGAUGGUCACGUACAACACCUCCAAGGCACGGAUAUAAAAAGCUAACACAAGAAAGCUGCCCAUUUGUUUCACAAAUUAGAGAGACUUGACAGAUUGGGAGACAGUCCUUAUCAACCCAGGGGCCUGUCGACUUUGUCAAGGAAGUCCCAAGUUUAAGGCCUAGUUCUGCCCUGUGUCCACUUCCUUCUCUAGACAGUGUGUACACAAAUAAAUUGAUUUCCCAUCCUAAGCACUGUGAUCCCAUAAGAAAAGCCGUCCAUUUAUAAAAGUAUUCUACAUUUAAAAGACUAAUUGAAAAUGUGAUGAUAUUGCACACACACACACACACACACAGAGAGAGAGAGAGAGAGAGAGAGAGAGAGAGAGAGAGAGAGAAUUCAUUUAUUCAGGAAGACAGAAGGUAAAUUGAUUACAGAAUGCAGUUAUAUGACAGGGCUGGGUAAGACCCGCAGGCCAGCUAUGGAUACCACAUUCUAGCACAUUCUAGAACAUUCUAGCACCACCUGAAGAAGCAUUCAGGAGACCAUGAGGAACACGAUGACGACUUCACUUAAGCCUGACACACCAAAAGGAAAGCAGCAUAUCUGUGACUCCAAAGGCAUAGCAGUUACUGUCACAAAAAUCAUGUUUCCCAAGCUCUUCACAGGAUUUUAUUUCUUUUGGCCCGGGUCUAAUUACAAGCUUGCCCUGAGGCUCUCUCCCUCUCUGUGGUAAUCACUGCAGAACUAGCUUUCUUUUCUCAUCUUUUCUGGGGCAUUUGGAGAAAAAAAAAAAGCCAAAGUCCUUCCCAUCAGAGAGGGUGUGGACUAACAAGACCCUUGUCUUUCUGAGAAAGACAGCGUGAACCAAGAAAAGGAGAUUUCGAGGGAGAUAACUGCCUCCAGGUCUUCUCCGAUAUUGAUAAGCUUGCAGACUUUUCUCAGACUACGUCGUCCCUGUCCCUCUAGGCCUCGGUUUCCCCCUCCUUAAAGGGAGGAGAAACACGGACCUCUGCUUUGUGAAACUAGCCUAAGCGUGCCAUCCCUAGAACAUGCCUGGCCUGCUAUCAAGGCUCCAAUGAAGUGGUGAAGAGGGUCUCAACCUUCCUAACACUUUCUACAUACAGUUCCUCAUGGUGUGGUGACUGCCCCCCCCAACCAUAAAAUGAUUUUCCUUGCUGCUUCAUAACUAUAACUUUGUUACUGCUAUGAAUCAUAACAUGGAUAUCUGAUAUGUGACUCCUGUGUGUAUGUGUGUGUGGGGGGGGGGGUGUCGUGACCCACAGGUUGAGAAGCGCUGCUGGGAUGCAAGCCAGGUAGGGAGGAGGCAGUCAAAGGACACUGCAACAAUUCUCCCAGCCUUGCAGUCUGUGGUAAAAAACCAACACGAGCCAAAUGGACUCUGAGCACCACACAAAUAACCUAUGACUUGGUAACCGCGAAGCACAGAUCAUCUCCUACGCUCUAUCCCAGCCCCAGUCAUAAUCACUCUCCUCAGACAUUCUCAGCCUCCCCUCCUCUCAUCGCCCUCCCCGAGUCCCCUGAGCAGUAUUUCACCCACUCUGGUGCAUAACACAAUAAGCUGGUCUGCUCUGAGAAAAUACUUACGUUCAGCAUCAGCCCCUAGAGGUUCUGAUUUCAUUGUGCCAAGGUAAAACCAAAGCGUUGGUGGUAUUUUGUAAAAGUUCCCUAGGUGAUUUUAAUGUGCAGCCGGGGUUGAAAAGCACUCUAUACCAAAUAUACUUGUUAUUGAAAGGUUUAUGUAUAACAUUUAAAAAAAAAAACAUCUUUAUUGCCAUUUUUACUGCCGCAACAACAACUUAGUGGGAGGGUUAGGCCGACUCACCUACAAAGAAAAGCUCUGUUGGCCUCCCUAGAAUAUCAUACCUAGGAGGGGUUUCCUAGGUCACCAGGUCACCUCCAUAGCACCCAGGAGGCUCAGAAAGAAAGCCAGCAUAGUCCUGACCCAGCCUCAGGUCUUCCCAGCCUGCCUCCUUUGGAUACAGUGUCAGCUCUGUGACCUCGAGGGCUCCCCCUGUCCCUCUUCUUCCUCCAUUCUUCUCCUCUCAGGGUCUCCUCAUCCCCUUCUCUCCUCUGAUACUAAAGGCUAUUUGAAGUUUUCUAUAUAGUACUGUGAGCUUUGAGAGAAAAAGGCACCGUGGAAAAUCUUAAUAAACAAAUAAAUAAUUCAUAGUAGGUAUUGGUUUGUUCUCUGCACCACUGGGUUUUAAACAUUUCUUAAAAGCAGACUCUUACCCAUAAAGCCAAACCAAUAAAAUCCAUGAAACGGCAGUAUAAAGAUUGAAGUUGGGGUGGCAGAGGCCCAGAGCCUCCAAGGCAGAACCAUCUCAGGGGCAGGAAGUUAAGACUAAGCACCUCCACACCUGUCCCAGGGCCGAGUGGGAAACAGACUCAAAAAUACAAAAUGGUUCCACGGAAUACUUGGUGGCACGGAGGCUGUGGAGGGAGGGCAGCUCCCAACCCACCCCCAGAAGCAAAAACAUCACUCUGAGCACACUCACCUCCAGAAGGGUGAGGUGUGAAAGAAGGCAGACACUUCUAGAGAAAAGAGCAGGCUGUGCAAUCGGCUGUUGAGAAACGUAAGAAACAUGACAGCAGCUGGCCCUGCUGAAGCAACUCAUUCCUCAGGUAAGAUUUAGGUCUGCUAAAAUUAUCAAAACUUAUCUUUGGAGAGAUAACUUAUGGCUGGAGAGAUGGCUCAGCGGUUAAGAGUGCUGACUGCUCGUCCAGAGGUCCUGAGUUCAAUUCCCAGCAACCACAUGGUGGCUCACAACCAUCUGUAAUGGGAUCUGAUCUCUCUUCUGGCAUGUCUGAAGACAGCAACAGUGUACUCUUACAGUAUUUAUUUUAUGACUAAAUCUUUAGGAAAAACUCCUCUCUCAAGCUGAGCUGGGUGUACAGUUGAUACCUACAAACUCAGUACUCUGGAGGCUAAUACGGGAGGGAGCAUGCCUGUGAGGUCUAGGCCAGCUUAGGCUGCAAAAUAAAGCCUUGUGUCAGAACAGACAUCUUAGCAAACAGGGGGCUAUUCCCAAUCAAUGUGUAUACAUGUAUAACUCCUCCUACCUAGAAGCAAGGAAUUAUGGAGAACACUGUGGGGAGCAAGAAGUCAUUUUGGUCACAUUUCCUAUCAUAGGCUCUCAGCAACCAGAAGUAACAGUAGUGAGCAAGCCUACACAGGAAAUCUUUCCAGUCAACUCUUUGAGUGGUUGACAAUGUCAGGCUUUUCCUACUGCUAAUCAAACCAGCUAUGUGCAACUACUGACCAAGGACCAAGUAGUCAGAUUUGCCAAAAGACUCCCCUCCCCCUCUUUCUUUUUUUAUGAACUGUAUGGGUCUGUGCACUGGUAUAUAAAUGUGUAAAUACCCAUUGAAGCCAAAGGUUUCCAAUCAGUCUUGGAGCUGAAGUCACAGGUUUCUGUGUGCCAGCCACACAAUGUGGGGUCUAGGAACUGACUUCAGGUCCUCUGGAAGAGCAGCAAGUGCCUUUGGCCACUAUAAUUCCAGCUCUAGGAGAGCCAAUGCACUCUUUUGCAGCCUUCGUGGGUACCAGGAAUGCAGGUGGCACACAUAUAUACACAUAGGCAAAACACUCAUACACAUUAAAACAAUUUUUUAGAAGUGAAUAAAAAAAAACUUCUUUUUACAAAUAAUAAAUAAGUUUUAAAAAAAGGAGGGGAACUAUUUUUAAAAAAAGAGAGAAGAAAGUCCUGAUAGGAAAAAAAAAAAUCUAAAACACCUUUAGAUUCCCAUUUUGAGUUAUUUAUCAAAGCAUUUUGAUGUGGUCCCUGUGACAUUCCCACAGGGCAGUUGUCAUAGUCCCCAUUUACAGAUGAGAUCGUCGAGGCUGAGAAAGGUGAAACAGCUUGCCCAAGGUCUGGCAGCCAGUGUGUCAGGGAGCCUAGAGCCAAGCCUUCUACUUCCAAAGGUAAGAUUCUUCCCACUUCAAGCAAAAGCAGGGAUUUUCCCAAAACUGGAACACAGGACGGUCAGAUCACUACAGCACCACCUCCGAUUUCUCGGGGGGGGGGGGGGGGAUCUGCAUGUCAAUCGAGACUGGAAUAUGUAUUCCUAUAUGGAGGUAGGGAUAAUGGGCCAUCAAUACGGUAAAGGGCCACUGGUUUAUUCUUUAAUAUCCCACCCCAAGUCUUUCUGUCAUCUUUUCCCUCCAACCCUUCUUUGCACCAAAGUCUUCUUGGUUCCCCCACCUCAACUCCCCUAUCCCUAACCCCCCUUCUUCCCUAAGCCUUCAGAUUCCCUAUUCAUCAAGGAAAUGAAAUCCAUAUGCAUAAUUCAUUUCUUUUGUGAACUCCCCCCCCCCCCCUUGCAGGGAGCAUGCUCCCUGCGCAUAGGGAACAGAGCUAUUGACAGAAGGCCAAAGAGCAAGGGUAUAGAAAUACCUUCCCCAUUUGGCCAGGACAGACCAGGGCCAAAGGUUAGGCCUGGACCUCUGCUGGCCGCCACCUCAGGCUCCACCAUUCUGUCUCACAGAACGAGGGGCACCCUGCUCUGGCUAUUAAGAGACAAUAGGCUUCAUCCUUAAGAGAGCCCAGAAGGCGGAUGGGGAAGGAAGCCUAGUUUCCAAACGCACUGGCUGCCUCAUAGGUAGGAGAAAAAAAUCAAUUGAGUCCUCUUGCUCCUUCAUGUCUCUGCUCAUAUUGAAAACCCAAAACUAAACAAAGAAAUCUACACCAUGCCCAAGGCGCCAUGUUUAACAGCUGUUGCAUUCGGAGAAAAAGCAGUCCCUGGUCCAAAGUCAGAUUUGAAAAACGGCUUUAUUAAGAGAAAGAUUUACUGUGUAUGAACUCCAAGUCUAGAAAGCCUAGAAAGGGGCAGCUGAGAGACAGACUAACCAGACAGAAGGCCAGGGCUGAGCUCACUGGCCAAUGCUACCUUUGGGCAAGAUGCAAAGACUAGUACAACAUCCUCCACAGGCCUGGUCUUAGGUGAUUAACUCUUUAAUAACAGCCAGCUACAGGCCCACCUGCUUCAGAAAUGGCCAGCAGACUCUAAAGCCAAUGUGGCACUUGUGCCUGGCCCAGUGAAUCUUAGGGAGCUUGUGUGACUUAGCAUCCCAUGUCACCAUCUUCUACCCAGGCUCCUUUUCUCAUGUUAGUGUCUACUUCUCUAUUCCCAAAAGAAGCAGAACAAGAUAAACAGAUGGCAAACAUUUUAGAUUUGAGGAUCCUUAUGCCUGGUUUGCCUGAAUAGCAACGUAAACUGUAUUGUUAAUAUCCCACCCUACACUUCAGGGUCCCCAUCCUUGAAGUAGGUUCAACUCCAGUUGAGGUAUUGUCAAGUCUCCUGGGAUUAUCAGUGGAGAACACAGCUCCUAAUAUCAGUUUGUCUGAAUUGCCAUCAGAUCAAGAAGAAGGAAAUUUCAUUUACUCUUUGACUUUUUUUCUUUUCUCUGAGUGGCCAGAUAGGCUGGAGUGGAUGAACAAGGAGUAAAUAGGUGUAUCUACCAAUAAAUUUAAACUGACAGAUGUUUUAUUGUGAUCCCUGUAAGAUUAACUUAGAGAAACAAAACACCCAACGUCUGUCAUCUACUAUGUGAAAACCAGAAAACAGCUCAGUAACGGCACUAAUAAAUGGGAGGAAUAUCAUCUAGGGAUCUAUAGAGGACCCUGUUCUGUCCCCACAGAUCUGUGUAUUUAGAAAGUAAAUGGACAAGGAAUCCUGAGGUUAAACUUGAACUACUGCCAAGCAACAGAUAAACGGUAGGUAAAAACACUCCUGACAGUCAUGGAGGGAUCCUGGAUAACCCCUACAUAAUAGUCCUUGGACCACUACUGUUUGUAUCAGGGCUUAGGGGUCUGAUGGACAUGGGUCUGUACCAGAAUCCUGCCACUUAACAAUAUACAACUCUAGAUAUGAAAAGUCCUCAAACCCCAUGUGCAAAUCAUAUGCUAUAAUGAUACUUCCUCAUAGGGUAUAUAUAAUUUGAUAGUUUGCUCAGCAUGUAGUAAGUACCCAACAGGUUGUAGCUUAAAACUCACAAACUAGUAUUAGCUUAUUUUUCCUUGGAAACAAACUCAGAACUGCGAACUGACAUGGUAACUGAUAACUUGAUUUGGCAUUAAGUUAGGUUGGAAUUUACAAAUAAACCUGCUUGCCCAGGUGCAGUACACCAUCUACUUGGUUCCCCAACGGGCUGGCUUGAAAACAAGUUGAAGAAUUCAGGAAACAAGCCCUUUCACCAAAAGCCAGGCUUUCCCACCCAUUCUAUGAUGUGUGCCCUUCCAGUCUCCAAGGAAAACCUCAUCCGAUGCUCUUUCCUGCUCCAUAGGAGCCUGUCUGUGUGGCUCCGGAUCUUCUGCUCAAUCUGGACAGUCAGUGGUAUCACCCUGUCAUGGGGGUCCAGAGAGCAUCUGCAACGGCCCAUUUCACUGCUCUGUGUUCCUAUCUUCGGGAUUCAUUAGCAUAUUUCAGCGUUACCUUGAUGGAUGAAGAUAGAUGGGGAACAUCAUCCUUGGUGAAAUCACUGUUUCAUCAAGGUUAAAUCAGCCCCUAGCUUCACCACCUCCCUUUGUUUGCCUAGGUCUCUAAUAACAAAAUUAACGGCAAAAUUAAUGCCCAGGAGGCUCCCUGUGAAAUAUACCGAUGCCCCCAGAAUGAAGCUUUAUUCUGGACCUCCCAGUUUAUAAUCCAUCAAUCAGCGGCUUCCAUACUUUAUCUUAAAAUAAAACACCACCGUCACUACAGCAGACGUCUGCCUCUCCGUCUUUUCAUCUGAAACAGCCAGACUGGGAAAAGAGCAAGGGGUGGGCUGCUGCCUUGGAAUCAUCACAGCACUGACAGUCCAAGCAUGGAGCAGUGGGCUUGUGGGUCCUGUCUCUGCAAGUAGACAGCUUGCACUUUCAAGCACAGGUAGCUUUGGUUACCUUUCCUCUCAGUACCGGAACUUGUGGGGUAAACAGUUUGUCUUCGCUAAGUCCAUCCUAGAGUCCUGAUGGUCCAGACACCUGAUCAGAUCGAUAAAUGCAGACCAAACACUUGUUAUCUGCCAAAGACUGUCUAGGACAAGCUUCUAGUCCUUAUCCUGAGGAACAGCUCUGGCAGGUUCAGGGAUCAUUCGUAAAAUCCCUGAUCCCCUAAUCAGCCACAGAAAUGCUUGGAUGCUGCUGGGGGGAGGGGGCAUGCCCUGGAUAUCCUAUUCUGUGAUAAUCCCCAACUACAGCACACACAAGAAGAAAUGUGGUGUUGGCUGUGUGGGGGGGGGGUGUCAAACAGCGGGACCACAUACCUGGGCAGCUGUUAGUGCUGUUUCUUAUUAGUAGUCACAGCCUCUUGGCAAGGCACAUUCACUUCAUGGUAAUGAGUUUCUCAAGACUGACUUUGCCUGUCCUAGGUUCCCUAUGUUCUAAAGGGUGGCUAUGUUCAAUUUCUCAGGCUUUCCCUUUCGGGGAGAGAGUGGUGGCUAUGGCAUGGAAAUGCCAUUGAAAACAAGCACAAUGGACAGGAGCAGAUAGAGCUAUGGGGCUUUUCAUUGGAAGGCUGACUAUUACCAGCUUACACAUUCAAAUGAGGUUUUGUACUUGUUAAUUUCCUACUUUCUGUUAUUUGGAGUUUGAGAUGGUUGGUUGUUUGUUUGUUUGAGACAAUGUCUCCUGUAGCCAGAGCUAGCUCUGAUCUGCUAUGCAGCCAAGGAUGGCCUUCAGCUUCUAAUUCUUCUGACUUUCUGUGCCAGGGUGCUAGGACAUUAGGAUUCCACCACCAAAAUUUAUGUCGUACUUACUGGGAAUAGAGAGACCAAGGCCUCAUGAAUGCCAGGCAAAAUCAAUCUACCUACUGAGCUAUAGAUUUCCUAUCUUCAGGUGAUUUUUGUUGAGAUAGAGAGUAUAGCCCCAAACUAGUAAGCAGGUUACACAAUAAUCAAGGCUCUGUCUUCACUGGACCUCCAUUUUUCAGGGAUAUUUGUGAGGAUGAAAGGCUUAAAAUGUGUCAAGUGUUCUGCCUUCCUUAAAGGAAGGGUGUUACCUGAAUAGCAAGCCAUGCUGACCAUAGGAAAUCAAAGCCAAUUUGGAAACUCUGUCAUAGAAAGGCUGGAAACACACUCAAGGCUCUCUUACCAUUUGGACACUUGGAAAUUUGCCAGGCACUAAAACCUUCUCCUUUGGUUGUCCACAACUUUCCAUAAAAGUUGAGGUUCUUCAACUUAACAGGAAGAACCACCAGGACAGCCCAGAGACACUAAACCUACCCCUCAUGUCUGCUGCCUCCUUUCUUCCUAUAGAUAGCCGAAGCACCAUCACGGAGUCAAGCCAGAACUGAGCCCUCACCAUAAACCACUCCUGGUGGCAACAGAAGAGCUGUGUGGCGCAAGAGCCAGGAGUCAGCUUACCUCCUCCCUCGCUAAGGAGUGGAGCGACUGAGGAAGCAGGACUGAGACGGACCUUCACUCCUCUAUUGGUCUAGAGAUGUAGUUUCUAAGGUGCCACAGUAAGGGCUGCUGGACUUCUUCAAAGACAAGGGGAGGGGCAAAGAAGAUCACAGCCUUUAUGUCUCCUCUCCUCCAUUUCCUGUCCCCUCUGCUCCCCACUCCUCCUGCUCUCUUCUCCUCUUCUAUCUCUUCUUCUCAAUCUCCUCCUCCUCUUCUUCUCCUUCUUCUUCUCCUUCUCCUCCUUUUUCCUCUCCUUCCCCCUCCCUCCCUUCCUUCCUCCUCCCCUCCUUCCUUUCUUCCUUCCGAGUAUCAGAAUCACAAGUCUACAGUAGCAUGGAAUGUGAAACUCGGGGUGGGGGAGGGGGGAGAAGGAAUGAUGGAACAGGUGGUAUAGAAUUUUAGAACCACGCUGCUCCACGCUAAGCCCCAGAAUGGCUGCUAGGCAGGAGCCAUUAAGACUACUCCCUCCCUGCACGGACAAUGAGGAGUGGUUCAGGGUGUGAGUUGUCUUAGAGAGGUUAUAGCUUUGAGUGUUCAGGUCCCUUCCUUUGAUAUAGAGAAUAAGCUACUGACCCAAAGAACACCAUACCUAUGUUUAAGACACACAGAACUGUUGCAAGUGAGUGAACCCCAGCUUUCACGACACUCCUGCCAUAUCAUUCCCAAUAAUCUGUGUUGUAAAAGAAGAACCUUUCCAGUGGCCAAGACUAGCAAUUCUGUUUGUCUGUUUGUUUCUAAGUUUAAUUUUUAUGCGGAUAGAUAUUUCGCUUGCAUGUAUAUCUAAAUGGCCUGUGUGCCCAGGAGGCCAGACAACAGCAUCAGAUCCACUGGAGGAAUUAUGGAUAGUUUUGAGCCACCAUCAGGGUGCUAGGAAUUGAACCUGCAUCCUCUGGAAAAGCAACCAAUGCUCUUAACAGCUGAGCCAUCUCUCCAGCUCUGACAAUUCUGAAUUGUAAACCUACCCCACUCAGGGAAACACAUAGGUCAGGAACGCUUCCCUGGGGAACCUGCAGACUGAGGGCUCAUAGCAGGACUUCAGUGAAAGAGGCUGUUUGAAGCCAGGCUGUUCCCUUUGCAUCCAUCUGUCAUUCUUCAUACUAGUACACAACAGGUAUACAAGUGGCUCAAGGGCUGUGCUUCACCUCUGCAGACCCAGCAGAGGCCAUGUUGUGAAUCAUUCAGAGAGUUCUCAACACUGAGCUCAACACUCUAAAGUCCAAAAAGUUUUGACUACACCGUGGCUCUCUGCCCAACCCCUUCCGAUUUCACCAAGGGGUUCAUCUUUACCUACAGACCACAGGAUUCUGGUCCAAUCUUAAAAAACAAGAGUAUCUAGGAAUCAAAGCAACUAUCCCUGUUCUUUAUAACUGUUCCAUCACCCGUGAAAUGACAGAGGCCCCCAGUCUAAUGGACUCUGAAAAGAAAAAAAUAAAUAAAGGUAAAGAAACCAUUGAAGGGCUGGAGAGAGAACUCAGCCUGUAAAGAGGUUGCCUCAGAAGCCUGAGAGAACUUGAUUCAGAUAUCCUGAACUCAAGUAAGUAUGGCAAGCUGGGCACUCGGGCUGACUAUGCAGGACACAUAUUUAAUCCCAGCACUUGGAAGACAGAGAGAGGUGGAUACCUGGUGGUCACGAGCUGACCAGACUAGCUGAACUACUGAGCACCAGGUUCAGUGAGUGGCUGGCCAGGUCUCAAAAAAUUAAGGUGGAGAAUGAUGAAGAAAGUCACCCAGGGUGCACCGCUGGCCUGUUUUGCACUUAUACUCAACGUGCGCCCAUAUACAUAGAAAUACAUAUAUGAACAUGUAUGGAGAGAGAUACACACCAAAGAAUCAACUAAAAAUAAACAAAUGCUUCCCUGGCAGCCAGGGAACCAACUUUACAUCAAAGAUGGGAGAGGAAACUUAGGAGGGUGAUGUCUGUAAUAAGCAUAGCUGUGGCAACCCACCUCUCUUCUGAGGUCCUGCUCUAUAAUGCUGGACGGAGGAAGCAGCUUGGGAGAAACUGUCAUUUUACGGGAACUGUGGACAAUUACACUUACAAUCUUCUGCCUUUGAACCCACUCGGUGUGGCUGAUGUUGCCACCCAUCAUAGUCAAGAGCGCUAAUGCUCAGGUGGAACAAGGCACUUGGGAAAAGCCACAUGCUAGACUAGACUGCCUUCCUAGGCCAAGCCUGUAUGUACUUUGGCUGUCACCACCCCCUGACAAGAGGAAAGGGCUGGUAGUGGGGAGAUGCUCAGUCCCUCUCAGUCACUGCCAUCUAUCUCCCAUCAGCCUUCCAUUCCAAGCUUUCCCAAUUCUCCAUAAAUACAACCACCACGACCCAGGAAGUCCAACACUCUGACCCAGGAAGCCUCUGCAGACCACACCUCUUCAGACCCUGCACUGAGCAGGUAGCCUCACGGUGGGGUGUCAAAUUUUAGGAGUGAUAGUCAGAGCCAAGAUAAAGGGCAGACCGGCAAGGAUAACUUGCCUUGAUCAUACCCUGCCUGGUACUUUGUUCUGAUCCUGCUCCACUUGCCUUUCUCACUUGAGGGCUUGUGUGUGUGUGUGUGUGUGUGUGUGUGUGUGUGCAUGCGUGCGCAAGCGCACAUGUGUAAAGCUGGCUGCUUCAUAUUCACACUUGUAGACUUAAAUCCCACCAGGGUCAACAGAGGUAACACCCACAGGAGUCUGGCAUGUCUCCAAGAUUCCCUCAAGGCUCAGAAGUCAAGCUGCAAGUGCCACACUAACUUAAAGGAGGGGAAACUGAGGAAGGGAGGUCAUGCAAAUGUUAGCACUCAGCCUUAGAUGGUCUGGCAAGUCAUCACAUAUGAAUAUCUGCCCUCUGUGAUCCAGCACGUUUUUUCCUGCAUCUCACUAUAGCUAGGGCAGAGAACAACCCACAGAAGCCAUCUACAUUUUCCUACAGAUCAAACAGGAAGAGGCACAGAAAUCUGUGCAAGUGACCACGCUGCCGCUGUUGCUAGGCAGCAUGAUUAUGUCCAUUCCCUGCUGCUUGGCAACCAGCAUUUCCCAUCCCAUACACACACAGCCAAGUGCCCUUAACUGCUAUCUUAUAGCUUUCGAAGGAAGGGGUUGAAUUUCAAGGGAACUUAUGCACAUUCAUGGACAAACACCUCUCUCAUCAAUAAUCCACUGAUGUUUAGAUGGUCCCUAGAGUGAGAUGUUCCCAUUUAAUCAGAAAGUGUCCCUGUGAACAUCUUGUACCUGAGAAUUGCACAAAUCUGCGGAGUUCAGGGACAUGCCAGAGAGAUGUGGAAAGUGCCUGAAUCAGCAAGCUGAAACUUUGGAGGAUAGCAAAGCUGUUCUACGUGCCCUGGACUCCUGAAAAGCCUGCUAAUACAGUGGUCUCCCAAGAAUCUGCCAUCUGGUAGACAAGGAUAAAGUAAAGGGUCAGUCAAACACCUUGAUGGGUGAUGUUUCUUUCUGUUGUCCCCAACAAAAUGUCACUAGAGUUCAGGACACGUCUCAUAACUGAGGGCAAAACUGUCCUCUAGUCAUCUUGAACCUCCUUGGUCACAAUCUGUCAGUUCCUCAAGAGCAGGGUCAAAGCCAUCAACUUGCUGCUUGGACUGAAGAGCUGCCUACUGCAUAACAGGACUCCCUCAACUCACCUGGCUUGGGGGAUAAAGAGCCAGAUGCCUGGGUCCCACCCGGCAUCUGCAAGCACUUGAACUAGGGAGGCCUUUGCUUCUAACUGACUGUAGCUGCUAUCAACCUCACUGCCUUCCUGCCAGAGCCACAAAAGCAACACACUGAUGCAUUUUUAAUCUCAGUUUUAUUUGCACCCAACUUUUUAAUGUUAGUUUCUCAAAUAGCUCCACAAGGAAGAAACCAUAUACGGCUCGGCUCGGCCUCCUGGGAAAAAACAGCCUUCAAUACUAGGGAGGGCAUCUGCAGUUUCUUGUAAACUCUAGAAAAUUCUCUAAGCACCAUUCUGAUUACACGCUGAAUUCAGUGAGAUCACCCAACGUGAUAACCUCAUUGGUAUUUCGUUUUUUUCUCCUCAGCCCCAGCUGGAGAAUUUUUCCCCUCAUUAAAAUUAACAAGGUCAGUUUCCCAAGCUCAAGAUACGAAGCAACUCCUGGUGGUGGGGUUUUGUUUCUUAAAUUGAGCUACAGCUCUCUAAGUGCAGAGUUAUACUAAGCGUCAUUUACUUUAUUGCUAUGUAAUAAGAAACCAAAAUGGAAGGCCUUAGCCAUCCUCCUAACACACCCUACACUUCAGCAACCACAUGCAAACACGCACAGACCACACAUCCCCCAACUCAGCCCCCAGGCUUCUCUGUCUUUUGGCCACAAGAUAAUCUCACUGCUCUUUAGAAGCAACAGCUUAGUGGAAGAAAUUCAGAACUCAGAGGAAGGCUCGGUCACCCUGAGUGGCUGACAAAGUCACAGUGUCCGCAGGAAAUAGGUUAUAAGGUUAAAAGGUACAAGCCGAGAGGAGGGUUUUUGUCCCCCACAGGUGUGCGGAGUGGCCCCAGGUGACCAGAUAGCUGAAGUGUAAUGAGUCUCCACUGACAGUCAAAAGCCAGAAAGCAAUUCUACCAAACACUUCAAAGAAUACUAUGUCAAAAAAUAAAAUGUGUGCUCAAAGCCACAAUCCCCAAUCGUGGGGAAAUGGAUGAAAGCAGGGAGGAUCAACACCAAACUCAUUGCUACACACAUCUUACAUUAACGAACGCAUUGUUUAAAAUGAAUUUAAAAAUCCAACUUUGUAAGCAAGAUAAACACUACCGAGGUGGAGCAGCAUACACACUUUGCGCUAGCUAGGCACACACAGACACCUUACUCCAAGCUGGAAGAAGCUUCAUUUAGGGAGGCCACAGAGAAAGCAAGCAGCCCUGUCCAGGCACACCUCUCAGUCAUCCUUUCAACAGGAUCAUCUGUGGCUAACCCAGCCACUUCCCUCUCUCCCUCCUCUCUGCACCCCUCCCCCCUACCAUCACCACACAGGCGCUCGAGCGCGUGCGCGCGCGCGAACACACACACAAUACACACAUACACACGUGGACAUACACACGUGUUUCAACACAAAUAAAAGCUAACUGUAAUUGAGAUCAAAGAGGAAAGGAAGAGGAAAAGAAGAUGCUGGAGACCAGCUCUGGGUGGAGGGGGUAGCUGCUGGUUUGUGGAGGCCAUUUCCCUAGGCCAGGCUGGGAAGGGGGAGCUCCCUCGCGGCUGCCAUUGUUGGCUGAUCAAAGUCCAAUCAGAAAGUAAGGGAGGAAACUCCGCCAGCCUCAUGUGAUCUGUACAGGAAGCCAAGUGUACAGAAAAUGAGCUGUGUUUGUGAAUAAGGCGCACCAAGACAUCUUUACUAAGCAUGGCAGGCAGAGAGAGAGAGAGAGAGAGAGAGAGAGAGAGAGAGAGAGAGAGAGAGAGAGAGAGAGAGAGAGAGAGAGAGAGAGAAACACUGACUCUCUAUUUGAAGCUGUACCAUAACAAGCCUUAAUAAGUUAAUGCAAAAAGCCUCCCAAGGAGUCUGGCUAUAGGAGACACAGGUCUCUACUGAAUCAAAAUUCUGUUAUGUUGUAAUAUAAUAGAUGUAAAUUAAAACAGAAAAUCUAUCAUGCCUCUAAUGUACCCUGAUAGCUGAGUCUGUGGAUCCGGACGAGCAGAGGCACCCGGAGGAAGGGUGAUAUAUGGCGGAGCUGGAUGGAGGGUGAAAAGCGUGGCGAGAUGAGCGGGAGAAUGGCGCAGCCCGCUUGCGCUCCUCAGACCCAAGGGCAAGAGACGAAUAAAUGUUGAUUAGUGUUGAUUUUGUCCGACAAACGCCUGUCGAGUGACAGUUGGGCUAAGCUGCACUGAAAGAGAACCAUUAAUCUUGGUCUGGUUUAAGUAGAGUAUAUUAAUUUGUGUCAUUUUUACUAAGUCGCGCUGAGAAAGGCCUCUCGCUGCUUUGCAUCUGACUGCUUUGGUGGUUGAGCCUUAAUCCCCCUCCCCUCCCCCCCAACCCCACCCCCCGUUUUCUAAAACAGAUACUACGGUGGCAGCGGUGGCAGCAGCAAAUUCAAAUGGCACAGCAGGGGAGCAGGGGACUGAGAGCUCCUCUCUUGGAUUAAGAAAGUAAACUCCCAGGGUGUUGGCAUGGCAACAGCAUUGCAGAUGAACUGCUAUAUAUUCAGUGAUUAAUAAAUUAACAUUUUUUACAGUUGUUCCUCCGUUUCUCUCCACCCCCACCUUCACAAUAACCCCCCUCCCCCAUACACACUUCACCCUUCUCUAAGCUGCAUCUCUUGCCUCAGUGUAGGGGAAGGAAAGAAGAGGAGCCGACACAGCUUGUGAGUUUGUGCCAGCCCACGACUGCUGUCUCUACAGACCUACAGCAAGGCCUCUGGUCACUUAGGAUGCUGUCAGCGGGCAGUGGGACCAGCAGACAGAUCCAUGAAGAAACCCAUGCCUGUGCUUCAUUGGACAGGGCGCCAAGCGAGAGAUGUUGCCAGCAGCAUGCCCUAGCCCCAAGCUUGGGUCUUUCAAGCCCUGGCAGGCUAGGAAAUAAAUGAGAGAUCUUCUCUCCACAGAACUGUCCCUCAAUGUCAGUGAUAGAAUGGGGAUAACUAGCUUCCCAUAGGUGUGUUACACACACACACACACACAACACACACAACACAACAAAACAAAAAAAACCAACAAGCAAACAAAAAACCUUGCAUCACGGGGUGGUGUGAGUGUAUAGACAGAGAGCUGAUAUUUCUUCUCUUGGGAGUUUCUGGUCCUCCCAUGCAUUAAGUCAGUGGAUGUGGACAAUUCCAGAAAUGGAACUUGACCAGAAUUCUGAGAGAGCAGAGAGAGGCAACAGACUUUCAAGGCUGCCCUGUAAGGCCGGUCCUGACAGUUCCAACUCAAACUCAGGAUGCACUGUUUCCAUAGAGCCUUGGGAAAUGCUUAUCUAUCGAAGUGUGGAUUUGGCUUUCCAUAGCUUUGCCCUGUGGAUCUCAUUACUAUAGCCAUCCUAUUGUCUUGGGCAGCUCAACUGCCAUGGACUGGGAGGGAUUCUGCAGAAAGCCACUAGCACAGGCUCCAUCUGUGAGAGUGAGUGAGCCCCAAAAAGUCCCUAUCACCCCAGAAAGUCCCAGCUCCAGAUCAGGAACCGAAGAGGAGAGACACUCGGUGAGCAGCCUAGGAGCUGCCCCCAAAUAAGAAAAGAAACAAUUUAUUCUGUGCACACUGCAGAAGACAAGACUGGGACCAAUGGAGUGCUCACAUGAUAGAGAACGAGUUUCCAAGGAAGAAGAAAAACAUCCGCCUAAGGCCACACUAUAAAGAAAUGGGUAAUGUCUCCCCGAACAGUCCCAAGAAGUCCCAUCCUUAGUGCAAUGGGGAAUUAAGUAACAUACCAUUUAGGGCACCUCCAAGUCACUGCUAAGGGUAAAGAAAAUAAAUCAUAAAAGCAAAUCCAUUAUGAAGUUGAACAUGGAUCAGAUACCAUCUAAGUUGCUUUGUAAGUGUUUUAAUAAACUGAUGGGUGCUUAGGGGAAGGGGCAGUGACAGUCACCGUAAGAAGUGCCUCACCAUGAGGUGUGCACCUAUACAGAAGACUCCAACAUUAUUCUAUGGGGAUUAGGGAAUUGAAGCCAUAGCACACCCAAGUCACCCCGCAUGUGAAGGAAAGACUUGGGAUUCAAAUCCAGGCAGACUGCAGGGUCUGUGCACUGUAGACCAUUGUCCCUUGGGCUGUGUGACACAUGUGGGGAGGUGCCCAGGUGGCACAAUGCAGCACUGCACUCAAGUUCUACCAGUUCCAGGAAACAGCUAUGAUGAGAGGGAAGAAAUGGGCGUUGAAAAUGCUGGCAAUAAGAAAUGAUGGGAAUAUGCAGAGAACGCUUGAAGGCAAAGGCAGGAAGGUCUUGAAGAAAAAGGAAGUGACACCAUUCAUUUGAACAUGAUACCCUACAUUGGAAAUGUACCCAGAGCAUUAGAGAUACUAAGUCUCAAUCACAACACAUUACUGGUCAACUCUUUGACCCUAGAAGAUUGGAGGAUUUUUAAGUCUCUCCCCAGUUUUAAUUCCCAUAUAAGUAGGCCAAGCCAGAGACUUUCAGUGUCUCCCCAGAUGAUUUCCAGAAUCACUCUAAUGGUAUCUUCUGAUGUUAUCAAGUUUCCCUCUUCUACUACCGCCAAGCUUGGAGCCAGUACCAAUGAGCUUGUGGGGGUGACUCUCUCCAGUCCAGGAAUCCCAUGUGUGUUCAAAGCGUCCAUGCUACAGAUUCCACCUUGUCUGUUAUUGCAGUCUUGGGUUUUGGAUGGGGGUUAAAGUUAUAGAUUGAGAGAAGGGAAAAGUAGGAGGUUGACACUGUCAAGCCCAUGGUGGUCAAAGUGCAUGUUCCACCUUAAUAAGACAUUUCUUCACAGAUGAUGGAAUUCUCUAUAAGAAAGGUCAGUGAAGAUGGCUUUCUGUCAACUCCAUAUCCAGGAGGAAGAAGGUUAGGGCUGGUGCGCCAGCUCUUACCCAUCUUCAUUCAGAGCUUGGCUUCCCCCCAUUCCACCACUGGAAUCACAAGAGCCUCCUAGCCCCUAGGGAAAAUGGGUGGCAUCCCCAGAGGCAAGAUGCAGAGCUACGAGGAACAGGAGGAGCAAAGCCACGUGUUCCUUUUCUUGACAACAUCUACCCUAGUCCAGCCAUGUCAGGAAGGUGCUGAAAGGGAUAUGAAUGCUUCGGCUAUGGCAAGGUCCUAUGGUUUCGGGGCAGAACGAUCAUAGGUCAGGCCGAGUAAUCAUGAUGAUAACAAUAACAGUAUCUGUAUUUGUCCAGAGACGACCGGAUGGCGUGAAGGGAAUCACAUUAAAUCCAAGAGGACUCAGAUAAAAUGAUGCUAAGGGUCAGACCGAAUCUAACAACAGUCUGUGAUUUGUGGCCAUGCCGCUGCUCUAAUUUGCCUCUCUACGGCUGAUGGCCCAUGAAGGUGAGGGGUGUUAUUGACUGUUACUGGGCUUGGCUCAUAGUACAAGCAAGUCACAGCAUCACUGGCUUGGUCCCCGACUCUGCUACAGUAGAUCACCCUUCAAAGGAUAUUUCUUUCUUUCUUUUUUUUUUAAAUACAUGAAAAGGAUCAAAUGUGGACCAGAUACAUUUUCAAUUCUUUCAUUUGAUUUUCCCACCUUGAUUUGCUACAAAAGCUUUAUUACGUUACUGACUUUACAUCCAUGUUGUUUUAUUCUUGUUUGUUUAAAGGCAUAACCAGAUGCAAGUGUCUUUCUACUAAAACAAUAUGUCUUGUUUAUAUAUUAUCUAUGGUCGACUGUAAACAGUAAUGGCAGGGGCUGUCUUUUUCCUAUCACACUUGCAAAUAUGCCCCGAGGCUAAGUAGCAAUGAGCUUCUCCAAUAACUAAAAUAAAUAAUGAAUUAAGUAAGUGAACUUGGCCCUCUCCAUGGUGGGGGAUUUAUCUCUGUAAAAGGGUCACAGCAGAGUGACAGCUUUUACUUUCCUCUCUUACUUAAAUUUUUGCCCACUCUGUCCCCCGCCCCCAUGCCUUUGUCAGAUGAAUCUGAGAGCUUUGCUUUUGGGUACCUCUGUGGUGUUUGUAUCCAAACAAUGCGGCUUCUUCCAAAAACACUUUGAACAUUGAAGAAAGAAUAAUUUGUUCUUAUGCCUACAUUUAUAAAACUAAUUUUUUUAAACCCGAACUUUCUUUAAGCACUCUAGCCAGAUGGUGGCCUUUUAAAGGUAUCUAGAAUAGCAAGAAAAAGAAAAGGGAGGUGGGGGGAAAGGGAAAGAAAGAGAGGGAAGGAGAGGGGAGGGGAAGGGAGGGAGAAGGGAGGGGGGAAAGGGAGGAAAGGAGAGGGGAGGUGAAGGGAGGGGGGGGAAGGGAGGGAAGGGGAGGGGAGAGGAAUUGUACUCAUUAGGUUGAGAAACUACUUGCUUGGCUAACCUCAGAAUCUGAGUUCCAUCUGCAAAACCUAUGUACAGAAAAGCUGGGCAUGAUGACACAUGCUUGUAAUCUCAGAGAUGGGGAGGCAGAGACAGAUGGAUUCCUGGGGCUUGAUGAGCAGCCAGACUAGACUAUUUGGUGAACUCCAAGCCAGUGACAGAUGUGUCUCAUAAAAACAAGAUGGACAGCUAAUGACGAAUGACCACAAGGCUGUCCUCCAACUUCUCCACGAAAGGACAAAUGUGUACCCCUGUGAAUACAUACAUAUACCUUCACCCACACUUACACACACACUCACAUAUAUACACACACACUUACACACAUACACAUGCACCUUUACCCACACUUACUUACACACACACACACACACACACAUACACCCUCACACAUCAACCUGCACGAUACAGAACUAUCCAUUUUGUGUAUUAGGAAGGGUAUUUUCUGUUCCUUCCCGUUUCUCUUCCGUCUAGCCCACAGCUAUAACUUCUGCCAGGUCCUCAGAGCCCUGACCCAGCCUGAGUGCUAUUUCAUAAUCCACACUGUCAGGGAGGGACAGGGAGCUACUAGGAAAGCUGCUGGAGCUGAUAAAGGUGGCUUUAGAGUCUUGCCAAGUGCGACUUUCCCGUGAUGAUGCCAAAUGCACGUCACUCUCAUUUCGAUACGAGCUGUAGAGGGAUGAUUAAGCCCAUUAUCAAAGCAAAGAUUCAAAGAUUGCACAAGAGAAUAAUUGCCCAGUACCCAGUGGGGCAAUGUGACUCACAGGAAAGAAUAUGGACUACGAAAUCAGAGACGCCUGGAUGUCAUUUACUAGUCGUAGGAGAUUGGGCAAUUCAUUUAAUAUCUUUAAGGUUUAGUUUCCCCAUCUGUCAAGUGGGAACAAGAACCUUUCUCAGAGUCAUUCUCUGCCCUUUACACAUAUUAUUUCAUGUCACCUGCUUGGUGGGGACCCAGUGGCUAUUGGCUUUCUCUUUCCUCUGUGUCCGGGUAACAGAAGAGAGACACUCAGCACAUGGUUUCUAUUUCCCAGGCUGAGAGGAGUAUGAAUGGCAAAUUGCUUAUGGCUGCAGGCAACCCAUAUAUGAAACCAGCAGACUUGAGAACAGCACAUCAGAGCCGGAGAGUGGAAAAGACCAAGCGAGGGCUAAGCAGGGCUUGCUCCAUCUCCUCAAAUGUUGUAUUACUCAUCCACAAAAAACCUCACACUCAGAUUUAAGACACUUAGGGGGGAAAAAAUUGUUCAGGAUCCUCGUUCACACCACCCAAGAAAGAAGCACACACUCUUUCCGUCUCCAUCUGUACGGGUGUACUCUCCCAUCUGAAUCCACUCAUGUCAGCCAUACAGCCGUGUCGGUCGCACGCACUAGCUAGUUCAGUGACGUUUGCAAAACAUAGAACAAAAAUGUACAUUGUUUCGGUGUUGUUUUUAGUCACCUUCCUGGAAAACAUGCAUUGAUUGUAAUAUUUCUCGUGUCAUCUGUGGGCUUGGGCACAGUCAUUCAUACCGUCUUUCAUAAAAGAAGCAGUCAAAAUAUUGCUCAGAAAAAAAAAAUAGGUAAAGAGAUGUACUUUCACAUAAUAGCAUCAAAAUGGCUAACACAUCCCCAGGUCCCACUUCUUCUUACGUAGCAGUUGGCAAGUGUCUCAGACCUCUUCCUGAAAACGAACUGGAAAUUUACGUGGUACAACCUCACCUCCUGUCAACAUUUGCCUAAUGGGCCCUUCCCAAAGUCUCCAUCUAUGUCUUACAGAAAUGCUGACGGGCACAAGAAAAAAAUUAACUUGAUAAUAAUUUCUGUCCUAAAGAAAUAACUAAUCAUGGUACAGUGGAAGUCUCAGCAGAGGCAGGGGGAUGUGCUUUCUGAUCUGCAGGACAAAAUGACAUGUGGCCUCCGCAAGCCACAUGAUCUUUGGGCCUCGGUCUCCUUAUAGAUGUAAUCAGUGGACUAGAUCAGAUUUAUUAUGAUUCUCUUGCAAAAUAACAUUGCAUGCAUCAAAGAAUGGGAAGUCCACGCCAGGGACAAACCUAGGAAUACAGAGAUGGAUCCAAAACUCAGAGUCUGCCUUGCAGUUCCUAGCAACCCAAGCCUAGACAUUCCAAACAACUUCUUCCCUCCUCACGCCCACGGGCACAGCACAGGCUGUGUCCCUGCCAGUCACACACAGCUCCGAUCUGAACCCAAAGUGAUGAACACAAACCGAUUUUUCCCUAAUAUUUAGAACACGGGUGCCAGCUUCUUCCCAGUCUUUGGAGGAUUGGGUCACAGAGACGUGGCAAAUGAUUAAUGUAGGGACAGCCACAGCAGUCUGAGAAACAGGAUGCCUGGCAUCAAAGAGAGGGAGAAAUGCCACAUAUGGCCAAAGUAGGGGCCACAGCCACGACCCCUAACUGAGUGUUUGUGGCCAGCUCAAACAGGCGUGCCCGACAUAGAGGAUCUUGAGUGAGGAUGUCAUUCCACUCCACCCUAAGAAAGGAUGGAACCGUUGCCAUGGCAACAAAGGUACUUGAGAGGGACAUGAGCAAAGGGAGACUUAAAAAGAAAAAGACAAUAUGUGGCCUAAACAAAAAUGUGACUGCGCAAGGGGUGCUGUAAAGCCUUUACUGCCACUUGUUAAGGAAGACCUGUAUAGCUCACUCGUGAGUAAUAAGGCGGUCAACCCAAACUCAGGCACUAAAAAUUUUAUAGCACCCCACAUAUCAAAUAUAUCCAGAUAGAUAGGGAAACAGCAAGAUACAUACAUAAAGGACUUCCACGGAUACACUCACAAACACAAACAAACGUUGGGCCCGAUCCUGGCCAGGCUGCCUUCAAAUAGAGUCGUUAAAUUUACCAAUAUCCUCAAUUUAUCGGCUAUCAAAUUCCACGUCCCAUCAAUUCAGUUCUUAAAAGGUUCAGAAGCUCGGCGGUAAUGAGAGGGAACGGUAGGGCUUCCCGGGGAGUCCAGGCAGGCCAGGUGCGGAGGGCUAGGAUUCCAGGUUGGAGUGGGGAUUCCACAGGUCAUUUAUAACUUCACGGCUGGAUUAAACGGUCCCUGCUGCCAUUAGGGACCGUCAAGGUGACUGCCAGAGGCCUGAACAGAGAUGGUUAGAGCCCAGAACAGGAGCAGGGGAGUAAACACUGCAGGUUCUCUGUUCCUCGCCCUGCCCACCCACAAACCAGAAAUGUGCUGUGGAAUCACUUGUACACUGGUUUACAGUCAGCUUAGACGAUGAGACUAGAAGAUGGGUGAUUAAUAGACACCUAUAUUAAACUAUUUUUAGAAUAGAUUUUUUAAAAAAAACCCACUUUGGAAGAUUUCUUUAAUUUUCCCCUCCAAAUUUUUCCAAGUGUUGGCAUUCACAAGCCAGGUAAGCUCAUUAGCACAGGGCUAGGAGUAUGUACCCACCCCCGCCCCCUUCCUCCCCUUCCCCCACUCCGCAAAGCAAUGCACACUCUUCUCUGAGUCACCUGAGUCAGAACAGGUGCAGAGUGGUGUCUUGCAGGAGUCCACGCUCUAUUUACUGUGGUUCCCAGCCACUUAUUUCCAAUUUAUGGUCCCAGCAGGGAACCAGCUUGGGUCCAUUCCGAGGCCUGGUCCUGGACUUCUCUAAAUACUUCAGGAUGAAAUGGGAGGGGGAAAAUGAAAUUGCCUGGAGAAAUGUCCCAAGCUCAUCAGGGAGGUGGCAACGCUCUCAAGACACAAUGCAUUGGUAUGACUCCUCCUGUUCAGCCAAUCUAAAGCCUAAGUAUAGAUAUAUGUCUGCCUGGCUACUAGAGAGAUAUCUGUCCAGAUACAAAUGGUCAUGGGAGUCCCCUUUCAGAAAUCAGAAUAUGUGAAUAGCAUUGCUUCUCCAUCACACUGACUUCCUACCUUUUACGUGUGUGUAUGUAUAUAUAUACACACGUUUAUGUGUGCAUAUAUGUAUGGGCCUAUGUAUGUGUGCAUAUGUAUUUGGGGGCCAAAUGUUAAUGUCGGGUAUCUUUUUUCAGUUGCUCUCCACUUUGGUUUUUGAUCUAUCACUGAUCUAUCACUGAACCUAAAGCUCACUGCCAGGCUAGACUGGCUACCCAGCAAGCCUGGAUAUCCUCCUGUCCCUACCUUGACCCCUCAGAACUGGGCUUACGGAGGCACACUGUCUCAUCUGGAUUUUACACAGUUGCUGGAGAACUGAAGUCAGGUCCUAAUGCUUUAUGGCCAUCACUUUACCAACUGAAACAUCUUCCCAGCCCUGGUUUCCUAGCUCUUAAAACUUCCAUUAAGAGAUACGUGAUUUCUUUUCCCUGCCAAUCUGCAUUGUACGUGAUGUCCAGGGUCUGUUCUCAAAGGUCACCAUUUCUGAUGCUUCAAGGUCAAGAUGAAUCCCAGCUCCUACCAAACUCAGUGAGACUUACGCAACUCCUGCUGACUGGAGCACACAAGGGUUGCAGAUGACACAAUGGUCAGGCCAAGUGAUUGCCAGUCACACAUCUGUACCAGAGCUCUCAGAAAUCAAUAGGGCUCUUAUAAUAAUCGAAGUUCAACGGCCUUCAUUUGUGAAGUGUUAAAUGUGCCAAGGGACAGAGUUAAAGCUCAGGCUAUGAAAAGGGACUGUAAGUUACACUUCCUUUAAAAAAAUUAGCAAAUGGUUCAUUUUUCCUGAAGGGGGGGAAAAAGGCAUUUUCAAUUAGGUGAGUGGAAGGACGCAUACGCUGAGUGCGUUCUGCUGGCGUUCUAAGUGCUUUUGAAACCCCUCCUGUCAAGGCGUUAGUAAUGCAAGAUUUAAGAUGCCCAAUUAAUUUUUUCCAGCCACCAGCCAAAAGUAGAUGCAGGAGGAGGUUAAAAGCUAAGUGUUUAAUUAAUAUUAAAUUUAUAAGAUUCUCUAUCACUGAAAGCAUUGUAAAAUUGAAAAAGCAGUUAAUUUUAUGGUUGCUGUGUAUUCUUCUGCUUUGAUCUUUGAUCUAUGAUAUAAAAUCACCAACUGUAAAGAUUCCUCAGCUUUAUCACACCUGUUUAAUGGUGAGACGGAAGGAGGAGAGGGGGAACCCAAGACUUGGAGAGGAGUUGGACUCUGAUACUAGUCACUACCAUCGAUUCCAAAAGCCGAGCAAGCCAGAUGCAGAAACCAGCCCUUGUCUUGGUGCAUAUACCACGACCUUGCUUGUUCUUUAUGCCCACGUUUCUAGUAUUAAGAAGAACAAACUGUGGGAGGCCAUCUUUUGCCUAAUACAAAACCCUAAAGUGAAAGAGAUUUCGGCUGGAUGAUGAAAGAAUUUUCUAAAUCUGAGGCUAGUCAAGGCCUGUAGUGUGGAACGUAGUAGAACUCAUAGUUAUUGAGAUUUGAGUGUGCAUCUGCCCUGAGCACCCUGCAUGAUGAUCGUUCUUCUAAGAACUCCUGCAUAGGUUCGACCAUGUGAAGAAACCCCAGGUCUAAAUCAAGACAGCUUGGGCCUGGGGAAUAGGUCCUCUUCAACCAACCAAUGGUACUGUCAAAAGCUAGCAUUGGUGAGGAAGGAGUAUCCAGGGAGAGAGGGAGGGAGUCUCAGUUAACACACAGGGAAACAGCUAUCCAAAUGUUUUUGUUCAGGGGACUCAGGAUGUGAGUGGGUUGGGAGAGUGUUUGCCUAGCGUGUCCACAGCUCUAGAUUGGAUGGAUGGCCCAGCACUGCAUAAACUGAGCAUGGUUGUGUAUACCUGUAAUUGUAGCACUUGGGAGGUAGGGGUAGGAAAACCAGAAGUUCAAGGUUAUCUUUAACUAUACAGCUAGUCUGGCUACCUGAAUCAAUACCCUGGUAGUCACAGUGGGUAAAGGCAGUAGAAAAGGUCCAGACUCCAGAUGCUGUUUCCUGGAGACCUUCAGGAAAACACACACACACACACACACACACACACACACACACACACACGUUUCUAACAAAGGGCUGUCAUCUAUCAUGAAUCCUCAAAGUAGGAGGGUUGACACAUCUGAAAUACAGUCAUCAUUGACCCUGUAAAAGCAUCGAGUACUUAGCUUUGUCUCCCUACCACACUCCGGAGUGGGGAGUGGCAGGGACAGGGACAACAGAGGUCUGGGGAUAACAGGGCCUAGGGAUAGUCAAGACUUUCUGCCUAAGAGAAUGUUAUGACCUAUUCCUUAAAAGAGAACAACAAGAGUGAAUUUCCAGCUCCAGGCCUCUCUCACUUACGUCUAAAACACAGAAACAAAGGCCUAUUAUGCAGAGUAGAUUCCUAGAGAGGGAGGGGGGGGGGGAACCCAUGUGAGGUGGGUUUAUUUUUUUUAUUUAAUUCCAUCAGGGAUCUCAUUAUAAUUUCAUUAUUAGCAGAAAAACCAAAUAAGUGGCAAGAAAAAGAAUCUCAACUUAAUAUUAACACACACACACACACACACACACACAUACACACACACACAAAGAUGAAAGGUCUGUUGAGCUUCAAAGUGACUGCUAAUUUUCCUGGCUUCAAACAACUCAGUGAGGAAGACAUUGAUAAUGAAUGUGCUUUUUCCACGGGCUCUCUGAUAAAUCUUCCCCCUUCCAGUCUUCCUCCACAGAACAGGUUCUCACUUUUAUUUAGGGACAAGGAGCAGACAGAAGAGAAGAUCUCGGAUCCAGACGGGACUCUGCCUUGAGAGCUUUAUCAGUACAAUCGCCAGGGAAAGAGACCAGAGGGGGAAUGGACUAUGAUGUUUAUAGGAAGCCUGAAGAUGUGGAAGUGGAAGGUGUAGAAAGAAAGGUCCUCUUCCCGAGUUCAAUUCCUAGCACUAACAUGAUGGCUCACAACUGUAACUCUAAGUCCAGAGGGUCUGACACCCUCCUCUGACCUCACUGGGCAAUCCACAUUCACUUGACAGCAAGACACCUAUACGCAUUAUAAAGAGUGAUUUUUAAAAAUUAAAGGCUACGUAGAGAAACUUCACAAAGUUUUUGAAGCCAAGUCUUAGUCAUGUCUAGAAAGUGCCCAUUAGGGGAGUUAAGGAGAGAGAAGGACAAGACGUAGACAAAAUGCUACAGAACAGGGCCAUAUUUUUUUUUUCCCAAAAUCUGUUCAUUUAAAAGGGGCUUUCAGGCAGAUCUCCUUGGCACAUUCUCCAAGAGACACCUGUGACUGCCCGUUAGAAGAUGGAUUCCCUCCCCAUCCAAGAGGUUAGCACAGGCAUGGCUGGCGGCCAUAUCUAAAUAAAGACUACGAAAGGUCUUAGAUGUCAAGAGGGCAUUAUUUAAUAAGUGGAGUGAUGUAUAGUUGUUCUUCUUUACUUUCAAAAUAAAUCCUUUAAGGUACCACAGCAAGGCAAAAGAAGGAGGGCUCGGGUCCCAGCUAUGGAGGUACCUCUGCCCCCGAGGUUCAUGUCCUAGGACUGUACUAGAAGAAGUGAUAUUUAAAAAAAAAAAUUAAAAAGAAAACUGCAAGGGACAGUUACUUGGCAUUCCACAACUAUGGUAGACAUAGGUUUAGAGCUCUAUAAACCAAAGCAGAGGUGUCUGUGAUGGGGGUGGGGUACACUGCUGGGAAGACAUGACAAAUAUGCCCUGCUGCCAAUAACCUGAUAAAAUACAUUUCAAGAGCACAAAACACUCUCCUUGUGUCUGUAGCUGUCUUUAUCCAUCAAGGAGCUGAAGACUUGAGACAUUUUCUAGCCGAGUGUGUGCUUCUGAAAGCUUUGCUGGGUGCUCAAGUGUGAUGCUGUGAGCCUACCUCUCUAGGUCACUUUAAUCAUAGAAAAAUAAAUAAAUAAACCAAAGCAAGCCCGUUGCUGGCGCUGAAGCCUCUAAGCAGGUACCAUCAAGGUACCCCAGGGCCCUGGUUUCUUCAUGAUGAGUUAGCAUACUUUCUAUAAAUACUGCUCGAUUCUGAGGGUGAGGUCGGGGUGGUGCUCCUACUCUGUAAAAAUAUAGCUCCAAGUUUAUUUUUUUUAAAAAAAGAGAGAGACAGUAAAGUAAUUAACAGACACCAUUAUGAAAAGUCUCAGAAACCUACGAUACGAUUUAGAAUUAAAACAUAGUCAAAAGUAAAAGCUAUGUGCUUACAUUUUUAGAAGUCGCUUGGAUGGCAACAGGUUAAGUAGAGGUUCCCAGGUAUUGUGGCUGUGGGGUCUCCUUCACAAUAUCACCAAAAAAAAAAAAAAAAAAAGAAAAGAAAAAGAAAAAAAGCAAGAACUGCUACUGAAGAAAUCAUUGUAACUGUAGCUUUUAUCAAUGGACUGAUGAUACAUAAGAAAACAGGAGAGGGAGUAAGAAAGGUGAAAACUCCUUUUUAGAUGUGAAGGUGCUUUUUGUCAACCAAAAAAGCACUUCAUACAUUCAAAGGCUAUUUAUCCUUAUGUUUGCAUGCAUGUGCACGUAUGACUGCACAUGUGUAUGGUGUAAUUACAAUGUUUGGUGUAUGCACAGAUUCCCCAAAUCUUUUCAGCAAUCCAUGGUCCUCCCGGGAUCUAGAUUGGGAAUCACUGUGAGAGAGAAAGACUCAGAGUGAAGAAAUCUAUGUCUCCACCAACUCAUUCAUGGAGAGAAAAUGACAUUCCCACAGCUGACUGAUUUUACACACACCACCCCUUGUUUUAUUCCCACCAACAAGAUCAACACGUUGAUAGACACAAUCCUGAUUAUUUCCCAGUUCACACAGUCUUGAUUGUUGGUUUAUAACACAAUAAAAUCUCCUUCGGGCACAAGAACCUAUCUUCUGUGUGUAUAUCUUCCAUUACAAAUCGCAAGUACAGAUAUUGUGGGGGAUAACAUAAUCAAAAUAACAUUUGGAACAAAGAUACAUGAGUAUGAUCAAUGGGACGGGAAAGCAAUUGCUUAAGAAACAUUGGAAAAUAAUUCUUUGGAUACAGACAGCCUUGUGGUUUUAGGACAGUUGAAGGAUGAUAAGAAAAAGGCCUUACCCUGAAGAACUAUUGACCCUGACCUAAAUGUGCUCAUGGACAUCCAUACUCCCAGUCCACACCCCCUCCCUCCACCUUCCUGUCUGAUUUCCACUCAUCCAUUCUUAGCUCCUGUUUGUCUGAGGCCACAUGCAACUGGAUUUGUCAAGUCCCCUCUUAGCAACUUGUUGUCACAGUCCAUUACCAAAUUGCAUAUAGUUAUAUAUUCCACUAAUUAGGCUUCUAAAAUAUCAUUAACAUGUCUCUUGAUCAUUAGCAUAACGUAUGAGGCGUCCUCGUUAGGCACGACUCGAGUUUGUUAACGUGGUAAUGAGAGGCACAAGGCAGGCUCCGCAGAGAGGCAUGGAGAAGUGGGGAACACAGAGGCACCAAGGAUCCACUCGACAAAGGUACAGAGGGUGACUGUGACAAAGGCAAAGAUAGAAAUAAAAAAAAAAAAAACAAACGAAAUGUGAAGAGCACACACAGUCCAUGCCAAAGGGACAUGAGCAAGCCAAUGAAGCUGGCUGGCAUCUACAUAGGUGCUUAGCAUAUGGUGGCCCUUAAGGCGUAUUCCUACCUUUAAGGCACCUGAAACCUAGCCCAAGGUUCUCAUCUAGCCUAAAUAGAAAUCCUUAAAGUUUCCUGGACAAGAAGAAAAUAAUAUAGAGAAAUCUUCCCAGAGACUAAAGUCAUAGAUGAACAUAGGUUCUUUUCUGGUACAUCUCCUCUUCAUUCCCAGGUACAGGGGACAACAGGCAAUCACUGCUGCAUGAGAUUAGAACUACUCAGGGUAACUUUCUUCUAACCCUCAGGAGGGCCUUUAUUAACACUGUCUCUGAGACCUCUCCCCUACUUCCUCGUGUGUGUGUGUGUGUGUGUGUGUGUGUGUGUGUGUGUGUGUAUGUGUGUGUGUGUGUAUGUGUGUGUGCACGCACACAUACCUGUAUCACUGAUGAUGGUGACAUAUGUAUUAAGACAGCUUUUUUUUUUUUAAUUUGGUUUUUCGAGACAGGGUUUCUCUGUGUAGCCUUGGCUGUCCUGGAACUCACUCUGUAGACCAGGCUGGCCUUGAACUCAGUAAUCCGCCUGCCUCUGCCUCCCAAGUACUGGGAUUAAAGGUGUGCGCCACCACAAAGAGCUUACCUGAAGAGAGAUCAUGGCUGUAUAUGUGCAGGGAAGAGAGGAUGGAGGCCAUUAAAGAAAUAGAAUAAGCUGGCAACUGGUAUAUACCAUGUCAGAUGCCAGUGAGCAUCCACCAGGCAUGUGGACUGAAGGGUGCGGUUUCAAAUUGCCACCUAAGACUACAUUUCCCAAUUCACAGAAAGGUUUCUAACUGUGCUUGAUAGGAUUCCCAGGGCAAGAAGAAAAGAAAGUGUUUGGUUUGGCCAACGGGUGGGGAAUUUGAAGAAGUCAGGAGAGAUGACUUUAUUGCACAAGCACACUGUUGUCUUUAUUUCACCCUCAACAAGGAAGUGCUAAGUCCUACUGUAUAGAGUCACAGUUAUAGGUUGAGGGCAUACAAGAGCAGCUCCAGAAACAAGCAAGAAGAUGCUACUCCUAGUCUGCCUAUGUGAGAGGAUCAACUGAGAACUCGAGAGUUUACAAUCUGACCGGUUUUGCUCAGCACAGCUAUUCUAGGCUAAUCUCUGAGACUUGGAAUCUCAGACAGAUAGUUGGAAGCACCCAGUGGACUCACAGAGCAGCACAGGAAGAAAAGUGUGCGGCUCUCCUGGAAUGACUUCAGCAAAAAUCCCACUGGACACAGGUGUCUAGCACUUCCUCAUAUGUUGUCUCCUCCUGUUGGGGGGUCCUUUCCAGGCUGGCCUUGCCUCCCAGGUCCAUAGUGGAAGAAAAAAAUCUGUGCACCCUCAAGUAUCAAGGCCAGAAACAUCACAGAAGACUGACUUAGUAAACUUAGGUGGCCCCUAAAUGGAAGUUUUCCAGAGUAUGCAGCUCACUUAAUAUCUGAAUGAAUGGUCCCAAUGGCCAAUGGUAAGAAUCCAGUCUAUGACUUGACAAUGUAAGGAUAUGCCACCAGGGCUCAUUUUCAGCGAGGAUGAAUCUAAGCAAUUGUUUCUCUGGAUCAGAGUGGGUGGGAGAAACUGAUCUCUCACUAUUAGGGCACAUGGAGGACAAUGACAGAAAGUGUCACCUUAAGAGCCUUUCCUAUUAGCAGAAUCAGGAGACGCCCUCUGUGAACCGCAAGUACAAUUCUUAUAUUUCAGCACCACAGAACCUUUUCUGGUCAGCUAUGGCUCUCCACCUAUGUGUCAAAGGAGUAAAGAAAACUCCCAAGGCCUGAGGUGAAGUCUGAAUGGAUUCAUCGUGGCAGGAAACAGAAUGGCCACCAAAAAUAUGGCUUUUUUUCACUAUUAUUUCCAUUCAGAUGGUCUGAAGGAUGGGGUAGCUCAGCCCCUACUGCAGAACCUGCAAGAAGCUAUACCCACAGCCCAGUCCCAAGGAACACCCCUGAGUGAUCCCUUACAAAGCUUUCUCACCCCUGUUAGACAGACGAAGUUCCUCGUAGAUAGAUUCUCAGAAGCUAGCUCUUUUCCCACUGGAGAAAAGAAAGAAGAAGCAAAAUACAAGGAGAAGGUAUAUUUAAAAAAAAAUUAAAAACCGGGAAAAAAAUUGAACCUCAAAACCUUCAGUUGGUAAUGACAAAAGUAAUCAUACAUUCAUUAUCUCACUCUGUACCCAGGCUCCGGGGAUGCACUUAGAGGCAAUUCUUUAACUCAAGCUGGUAGGCAAGGCAAUGGGACAGGAGGAAGAGAUGAAUAUAAAUCCACAGUGAUGCCUGGAUACAAAGUCACACAGACAAAAGGCUAAUUAGUUAGUAGGGUUACUUGUAAAUUGAUGGAAUGCCCUAGUGUUUGAAAGCAUGCAAAACUCAGAACUCAGGAGAACGACCCUGACAAAGAAUAGCCUCAAAGCAGCACCUCUGGGACACCCUCUUCAAAUAAACACAGUGGGUCUGCGCAGUGUGGCUUUUUACACUGGGUGUUUUAGAAAGAGUUCAAUGCAGCUGUUUGCCUAAGGCAACAAUGCGUUUUCUUAUUCCACAAGCUCUGACUUUAGAAAUGAAACAAAAAGUAAACUUUAACAGUGUCCCUGUAACGAUGGCCACAAAUUCAACAUCUGUAAACAGAUAGUGAUAUUCUAUUUAAGUUGGGUUUUUUGUAAGGCUGGUUCUCAUCUUGCUGAGAAGGAGAAGUGGCCCUACAUCUCUGAGUCAUGGUAGUGGUUCAACCUGCCCAGCUUUACUUGUUUGGAGCCUACUGCUCUCUCCCCGCUGUCCACCCUCAUCCUGCCCUGCUCUGAACCCAGCACACGGAAGGAUGAUGGAGAUGAUCCAGAAUGCAAUUACUGAUGGAGAAGAUGAUCUUAGUCUACCUCAUGGAUUGGGAGCGGCAGCUAAACAGGACAAUUUUGAAGUGACCUGCAGGCUGGUGGGAAAAUAGCUCAGUGGGUCAAAGUACUUGCUAUGUCAACCUGACCAUCUGUAUUUGAUUCCUGGAUCCCACUAUGGAAGGAGAGAAUUGAUUUCUAAAGGCUAUCUACGAAUCUCCACAUAUGCCAUAUGUCCUGUGGCAUGUACACACCUGCACACGCACACACACACACACACACGUAUGUUUUAUAAAAUGACCUGGCUACAUGUGGUGAUUGUUGCCUAUAAUCCCAGCACUCAGAUAAUACAGGAGAUGAUGGAUAUUUCUUUCUGAGUUCAAGGCCAGCCUAGUCUACAUAAUGAGUUCCAGGCCAGUCAAGGGUAUACAGUGAGAACCUGACUCAAGAAAGAAGGGGAGAGGCUUGUCACUUAUAAAUGGAUGCAUGGGGGGAAGCUUAAAACCAAUGUCUGUGGAGUAGGAGGGAAAGAUUCGAACACAGAACAAGCCAAACAGCCCCAGUGCUACAGAGCUCUCACAGAGGCAUCCCAGGUCCCAACAAUAUGACUUUUCCAAUUGAGAAAACUCCCUUGCCCUACUUUGGGAUCCCAGGUAAGAAUGUUUGGUUUUGUUUUAACACAGAACAGCUAUCAUAUCCAUAGAACAGCUUCCAGUAGUCCUUUUGCUUAUAGGAAUGACAUGGGCCAAGAAUGGGCACCUAAGUGCCUCUCCAGAGGGAGGGCAUGGCUUACAUGAGAAUAGGAAGGGAUGUGUCAUACACAGGAAGUGACCUGUUCUUUCCACAAAAGGGAGAGCCGAGAAUUCAUACCAAGGAUGAACACUGAAUACAGUCCAUGUGUCAGGAGCCUCACAAACUGCCACCGCCUUGUCGCCUGGAACACUGUCCUCUGAUUCUCCACACUCACUCCCCCAAGAGCCGAAUAACCAGUAAGCUGCUGCCCAAAAGAUAUUGUAAAUAGCUCUGAGAGAGUACAGUUCAGGCAGCUUCCAAUUAGCUCUCACUUAACAGUCGUUUUCUCCCUGCCAAGUUUGUGCAGUGAGAGCCCCAAGCCCCCGCCUGCUGUUUGGCUCUGGGUUUGGGAACACGGGAGUCAUGAUGGUGAUUGGGCCGCUAGAAGUCAACACGUGUGCAUAUGUACGAAGCCAGGGAGAGAGUUAAAACGUGCUUUGGGGGGAGGUCAGUACCAAGCACAGUCUGGCGGUAAGACCAAAAGCUAUGCAGAGUGCCAGGGAUCCACCUCUUUCUCUAGCUCUGGCCUACCCCUAACUUAGCCAGCUUCCAUUUAAUUAUGCCUGGUCAUUUUACCCUUUACCUACCCUCCAUCCUGCUCGGUACCUCUCCAUCUGAAUCUCAGUGGAGAUAUCUAGGAGCUAAAGACAAACCAAUGGCCAAUUAAAAGGUAAGUGCCUUGUGUUAAAAGCCAGGCCAUUCAAUAUUCAUAACUAGGUAGCUUUCGAUAUGGAUGAAGGACAAUACAAUCUAUAGUCAAGGCUAAUCGGGGCACCUCGUUUUGUAACAUAACCAAACACCUAUUCAGCUGACGGGUGGGAACCACCUGCUCUCUCCUCAGCAGACUUCGGCACUUUAUAAAUAUUAGAGAUGUAAAAGACCAAAGAGUUGUUAAUGUGUUUAUUUCCUUAUAAUGAAUUCUUCAGGCAACGGAGAGGAUCACCGAAGCAGAGCUUAGUUAAAAACCCCAGCUGAAUUUGGCAGCCCUACUGUUCUUUGGAGCAGCAUCUAAGUAGUACUGCAGGAGAGAGCGUAAAGAUUGUUCACUUGGGUAUAAUUUUUUUGAGAAAAGAGAAAGUGAAGAUUUAUCUCCCACUCUUACAUUUCUUUUUCCAAAUUAUAAGAUCAUCAGAUUCGGCACUAGACCUAUAGAACGAAAGAGAAACGAGAGAGGGAAAAAAUGCGCAGUAAGGCGGUAAGGCCGGACACAGUUCUUUUCAAGGUUGAAGCACAUGAACCUACUCAGCCCGUAGGGUUUCUCCUGCCAGCAACGGGAUUACUGUCUCUAGAACAGUCAACUUUACAGUCUGUUCUUAGAACCCAUAAGUAGUGCUUUUAAAUGUUGGUUAAUAAUGUGCUCGACUCUAUUUAUGGGGGAGGGGUGUUUAAUCUUUCUCAAAGAGUUAAGACAAGGUCACUUUAUAAAUGGACAGCAACGACAGGAAGUGAUUACAGCUCACCUAGCACAGGGCUUCCAGAGAACAAUCAAAUCAAGAUUCCUGCUCCCAGAAAGGGCUCUGUCCACUGGGAGGCAGCAAAGGCUGCCAGAAAGAGAAAUGGGCCCGAGCUUGGAGACCUGGGUUCUAGUCCCUGCAAGUAUCUUUAUCUUAGAAUCUUGGCAAGUGUACUGUGGCCAGCCAUAGGAUUCUGCCUAAAACUUAGGGCAGACAAAAAAAGAAAAAAUUAAACAAGAGAUGACGAAGCACGUAGGUGGUAAAGAUAGAAGCUGUAGGAAGAAGAUACACACACAUAACAGAAAUUUGAACUUUAUAACUUUCCCCCAGUGUGAAAGACACCUCUACCACAGAUAGUCAAUGAGACUAGAACAAAGCAAAUACAGUUGCGCAUCCACAUUUGCAGAUUUGGGACUGAAUUAUCCAGUGUAGAAUGAAAAUCAUGGCUGCCAAAUAUAGUUUGGGGCUUUUGCUGUUGUUGUUUGUUUGCUUGUCAUUGCUUUCUAAAUAGCUAUUAAUAUGCAGAACAUCACCAUUGGGUUUUUUUGCAUAAUAAAAUUCAGAUUGAGAUUAUUUAAAAUAUAUGAGUGAUCAUAUGGUGAUAUGCAAAUACUUAUGCCAUUAUGUAAAAAAGAAUUUGGGCAUCCUUGGAUUGGGUAUCGUGGAAAAGUCUGGAGCUCUUGGAAUCAGUACUGAGGUAUAAUGGCACACUAAAUACAGUAUGCUCCAUUCCUGUCCUGUCCUGUCCUGUCCUGUCCUGUCCUGUCCUUUCCUUGGCUUUUAGAAAUAGGAUCUCUCUGCAAAUCCCUGGCUGUUCUGGAACUCACUCUGUAGACCUGGAUGGCCUUGAACUCACAGAGCUCUCUGCCUCCUGAGCUCUCGGAUUAAAGGGAUGCAUCAUGAUCACCGGUUUUUAAAGUAUGUUUCUAAGGGUUGUAGUGAAGGAAGAUGGUCCUCGGGUCAAAUUAAUUCUGAAAAACGCUACUACACUAUACACACCCUUCUAGCAGAUAUACAACAGACAUUAUAUUAACACUCAGAAAAGGCUUGUGGUAAAGAAAAGUCGAACUUACAAACUCACUUGACAAUGCUCUCUCCUUUCACACAAACAAAUAAACACACACACACAAACACACACACACCAAGUAGAUGGCAUUUAAAGUUAUUUAUUUGAAUGGCAAUAAUGACUAGUUUUGAUUUGGAAAGUUAAUGUCAUUGAACCGCUGGUCAAGGUCUUGGGGGGCUAUAGCAUUUUAGCUACAAUACCCUCCUUAUUCUCUCUGAUUAGCAGCAGCACGUGUUUGAGAGGCAGCUGGCUAAGGUGAAAGGUUAAUUUCGUGGCCUUGAAUCUCAGUCCAGUGAACAGACGCCAAUGGGGGCUGGACCUCAUCACCUCGUUCUCAUUAGCUCUACCCAAGUGAGCUUAGGAGCCGAAGAAAAGAGCCUUAGUCACCAUCACAAAGGGAACUGGAACUAUAUCAUCACCAACACAGAACCAGUGGGCUCUACCUCAUAUGUUGAAGAAGUCACAAAAAAAAAUUAAUGAAGGUAAACUAUUUUAUCCUAUCAGGAAAGCUGGACUCUUGGGAGGUUUUAUAAUCAAGGCCUUGGGAUCCGGCCUCCAAGAGAUCAAGUUCCAAGUUCAUCUUUUAACAGCUAUACAGUCUCGAAUUUAACAGAUUACCUACUUGAAUCUCAGUCUCAAAACUCUAUCAAUAACAAUAAAGAUACCCCAUUCCUCAAAGGUUUUGAUGAGGAUGCAAGGAAACGAUGUUUGCCAAUGAACUUAGCACUGUGCCUAUCCCAGGAUAAGAACCAAUAACACUCAUAAUUACCCAUUUAUUGACCUGUUUACUUAUUCAUGUAUGUAGUUAGUUACUUAUUUGGGGGGAGGGCUGGGACCUGGAUUUCAGGGCCUUCCGCAUGCUUCCCAAAGAUUUCUCCCACUGACCUCCACUCUUAGUCUUCUUUCAAUUUGGUAUUUUGAGACAAGAUCUUAACUGAGCUGCUUAGACUAGCCUUUGCUCUGUAACUCAGGUAGUCCUUGAAUUCAACAAUCCCCCUGCCUCCGCUUCCCAAGUAGCAAGGAUUAUCAGUCUGUGUACCAGGACUGACUAUAUUGCUAUAUUUAAAGGAACCGAAUCAUGUCAAGAAUAAAGUAGGUAGCAUUAGCAAAAUCAUCAUCAUCAUCAUCUUCUUCUUCUUCUUCUUCUUCUUCUUCUUCUUCUUCUUCUUCUCUCUCUCUCUCUCUCUCUCUCUCUCUCUCUCUCUCUCUCUCUCUCUCUCUUAUUAUUUUUAUUUUGUAAUUCAUGAAAAAAACAUGUGCUUCUUAAACCUUUACUGAAAAAUCUCAGUGUGAGGCUGAGACGACUUUGGUCAGGUUUCCAUCCUUUGCAGAGAUUUCUAAAUUGAGAACUUCGAUGUCUGCAAAACAUGAUUCAGCUAACUAAACUUAUUUUAUUGGUACACUCCCAGGAAUACCUUUCUCAGAGGAGAUACACCCAACACGGCACUUAAUCCUUGCAAGGUAUUAUUAUGUAGCCUAAUUUUUUCCUAUCAAAACCAAAAUAAAGAUCGGAAGAUGAGGUUCCCAACCACACAUCAGAGGAGACAGAUGAAGAGUGGAGAAGUCUUGGAGGCAGAGAAAAACCUCAGGAGGCACAGGAGAUAAUACAUGAGGAGCCCAAGGACACUGACAGGAAUGGUAUGACUUCUGGCCUUGGCAUUGCUGCUGCCCGACCUGUUCAUACAUGGUAGCAGCCCAAAUUUGUAGGGCAGCCAUUUAAAGGCUACUAGGAAACUCUCAGCAGCAGCUCUAAGGCCUGAAUGGAAAGAGUCAAAAAUUCUCUUUUUCAUCCUUCCCCCCUGGGCUCUCAUCUUUGGAGAUUGCCAUGGUGACCACCUAGAAGGCAUCUUAGUAACCAAUACCCAUAUCCUUUGCCUUUCCAGAUGCCUGGCUCUUAAGCUCCAAGACUCUUUUAGGCAUGUGGGGCCAAAGGUAGCCAAAUUCCAAAGCCAACAGUGCUAGACAUGCCCUCUCUCCCUCCCUCUCCUACUUCACCCCCUCCUCUGGUGACAGGCCACCUGUAAUUGUCUCUUUGGUCUGACUUAUUGGUGAUGUGCAUAAUCCAAUGCUGCUACUAACUGAGUCCUUGCCCAGAACACACACACACACACACACACACACUUUAGUGACUUUGGCCAUGUCUAGUGACUGCUUCCCAGGGCCAUCGCAUCAAUCCAAUCAAUGCUGGAACAGCUGGCUCUUAAUAACACUGGAUUAAACAAAUCGAUUACAGAAAGGUCAAUUUGGUACCUAACAUUUAGAAUGUAGGGACCUGAGCAUUUGGCAUCUGUUGGGGACCAGUGCCAUAUAAGGUCAGGAAUCUUACUCCGGAGUAGAAUUCCUUACCUGAACAAAGGAAAUAUUGAUCCUGAAAAAAAAUAGUCAUGGCUUUAAUGUUCUUAUAUUUACUUGCAUGAAGAAAACUGAAUGAGGGGCAAAGAUAGCACACACACUGUUUUAAAAAUUCCUCGUGGUUGUGUGUGUAUAUAAUACUGCAUUCAACAAGACCAAGGUAAGAGGAUCAAACUCCACGCAUUUGUAUUAUAGUCAGAAAGGGGCCACCGGUUGGAAAGAACCGUGUCCACACAUGUCCUUUGACCUCCUGAGAAGUGAAAACGGUUGAGACAUCUCGGGAGAUGCUCACAGUCCACCUGACAUGUCAUGCAAAGGAAGCCUGAGCCUCCAGUUGGCUCUGCCCCCUGGAAACCUGCUUGUCAUUACCAUGUGUGCUGUGAGAAGCCCAGCCGAAUGCUGUAAAAUGUGUGGAGCCCAUGUUUUAUGAGCUGCCUCCACAGUUCAGAGGGUGAAAACAGGCAGAGGGAAGCGGGAUCGCAGACCCAUCAUCGGCCAGUUGGCAGACAUCAAGAUGCAGGCAGGAAGUCAGCCAAUGCUACAAGUCACAUGUCAACAGAAGUGAGGGAAUGGGGUGGGGGCGGGGGUGAGCACAGGGGGAAGGAGUGAGAAAGAGAGAUUGGGGGAUGGACAGGACAACAGGACCACGUAGCAAGCAAAGGGAGGUAUCUGUGGGCUGACCUGCUGCGGCCCGUGAACCCUGAGCACAGAAGGAAUCACAGCCAGUUAGGGAAGAGCUGCCAUCAGUGUCCUCAUUUUAGACUCCUUGAGCCUCUGCCAUAAAAGGAGGUGUGUCCUUGGUUAGGACAUGUAAUGCACUGUAAAAUGAGAACGGUUGAACCACUGGUCCAUAAAACAACAAAAGCAGCCCCACAGGGCUUUUACAAAUUUACACACGCACACACACACACACACACACACACACACACACACACACACACAGACACACACAGAGAAGGGACGGGACCACACUUCUCAACAGGGAACACCUCAAGUCUAGGAAUCAAAUGCCCAGGUACUGCUAGGCAUGGGCUGGACUGUGCUUGGCUUCAGAUCGGUCAUCCCACCAGACUGCCAUCUCUUGAGUAUAUGGGAGUCUUCUAGUCAGAUCCUACUUUAUCAGCAAGACACCAAGGCCUGACAGAUCCCCUAAAAAUCACCUCUCUGGUUCCAAGUGCUUUAAGGGGUCUAUCUUGUGGCAGGCUUAAAUGGAGUGUGCUUUAGGGAAAUCCUGCCUUUCACUCAAAAUUGGUCAAGUCCUAAAGUGGGGUUUGAGUUCCGCAUUUUCUUCCCUGCUUUCCCUAGAGAUGGAGACGGGGAAGAUAUUUGCAUUGUAUCCACUAAUUAUGCAUACUAGUUUAUUUAUUUAAACAAACAAACAAACAACAAGACCCAUGCAUAGCAUGAGCUAGGUAACUAGCACUGUGCUGACAGCUGUGUCUCGUCCCUGCCCCCCCCGCCCCCGCCCCAGGGGAGAGUCAGAGCUCGCCUACACAGCGAUCAUAAAAACAGAGUGUGCACACCUUAGGACACAGACACACAGACCCUGCUCUGGGGAUCCCAGGAUGAUCCUGGAGGGAGUUAAGCAUAGCUUUACUGCAAUCCUGACAUUUGAGCAGGUGGCUGUGGAAGCUCACUAGGCUGCACCGAGCCACGGGAAUGCACAUGAAGCAAAGGACACUGUGCAAAGGCUAAGAGUCCACCAAGGGUGUGACCUGCUCCCAGAAGAAGGACAAGUUCAAAAGUGGUUGGGUUUUGGAUUCAGUCCAGCCUGGUGUUUGAAAUACAUGUCUAAGAGAUGGCCCUGAUGGCGUGCCUACACAUAUGGUUAUAAAACAUUACACUUUGAAAUGUGGAGCAUAAGGCUUGAAUGAGGGCCCCACCUACAUCUUCUAGAUGCUGAGAAACUAGCGCACAGGGUUCCUGUUGUUUGUUUUGCUUUGUUUUACCAAUUUGCAUUUCUUUAAGGUAGAAAGAAAAAAAAUGCUUGAAAUAUUAUCUAUAUAUCUACAUACACAUGUAUGCCAGGAUAUCUACAUCGAAAGGUUUCUUUAAGGAAAGUCUCAUGUGGUAUUUCCUACAUGCCAGGCACUGCUAUAAACACACUGUGUUUAUUAGAUACAUUUGAUCUGCCCAGUAAUCCAGUAAGGUAAAGUCUUUCUUGUUCCUCAUACCUAACCCAUCAGGCAGAGAAGUAUCAAAUAACUUGCCAGAGUUAAUCAGCCAGUUAACAUCGGGGUCAGGACUAGAAAAUGAAGACUCUGUGGCCAGUGUUCCUCGCCACCACUCUCACCCACCUCCUCAGGAGACCCUGGUACCAAGGUCACUCCUGGAAGGGAGACCCUGACAGAGACGGAAGCGCCAUGACCUUUCACCUUUCGCCUUUUCCACCCUCGGAGCAGGUGGUGGGAGUGGGUGGGCGGGCAGGGGGGUGCUCCUGGGGAAUGCCAUGCAGACAUUCCUUAUAGAACACUCUGUGCCUUUUGAUUCCAAAGAAACAAAUGGUAAGCUCAGAGACAUGGAGCUGUGCUGAGUGCUUUUAUAGUCACAGGUACUGAGCACAGAAAGGUAGAGGGGAGGCAGAAGGAGGAGACCACAGGCCAGGUCAGAAAUGUGGUCCCUCAGACCCACCACAGGGUAACCUCCCCAGGGACCCCUUUCAUUCCCAGUUCAGUUCAACUCCUAAAGCCACUGAGGCUGGAAAUUAGGAUCUCAGCAAGACAGCACAGUCCAGGGCAGCUCCCAAGGCUGCAUUUGCAAACAGUAGGUGGCUGGGAGCCUUAAGAGCCAAGAAGGAAAACACCUCACCCUUCACCCACACUAGAGAGAUCAAGACCCCACCUACUCCCACCCCCACUCCUCGUUCCCACCGGCUUGAACUAGGAGCCCACAUAUUAAUUAUACCAUGCCAUGGUUCAUUUCAGCAAAAACCAACUAUCAUCCUCCUGACCUGGGGGGUUAAAAAUUCCCUCAUUGAGACGCUGAAAAAAGUAACAUGACAUCAUGUUGCCUGUGUCAGGUUUAUAAAUGGGCCAGGGGGAGGCAGGGGUGUAACCUGACACUAUCAAAACACCGGCCCUGCUGCAAGAAAGAAGGCCAUUGUUGGAGGCUGUCAGCUCUCUUCUAGCUGGAGGUAAAGUGAGAUUCAAGAAACAUUAGCAGGAGGCCAGGCGCUGUGCAGGCCCCUGACUCCCUGGUCGGCUAAGGAAUCAGGCAGGCCCAGGUCCCCACUUCCUGUGGGGUAUGUCACCCCAGGUUUUAUUCUCCUAAGUAAUUUUUAUUCUGUGCCUCAAAGUAAAGGAAUGUUUAACCCAAAAACAAGAAAGUCCAGGGGCAUUUUUUUUUUUAAUUUCUGGAGCAAGACUAUUUUCCUAAGCAGACAACCAGAGAGGGAACGAAGAGGGUUAUAAGCACACAGGGUUGAGAUUUCUAUAUGAAAGACAGAAAUGGAAGCCUGUUGCAAAGCUAGACAGACAGACCACCUCAGAAAGGGUCAAGUGGACCUCUUACCCACAACAAUAUUCCAAAGAAACAAAAUUUUGAAAACUUAAAGACACGAAGUUUCCAAGUGACGGGCUGGGGCUAUGAUCAGGACCCAAGUGAUAAAAUGUGGUGUGUAUUACAGAGUCAGGAGGGACAGACAUGGACUGGCCAAAGGACAAAGAGUUGUUACAAAUAAUAAUUUAAAAAAAAAAUUGAACACACAAAAGGAGACGGGAAAGGAUUUAUGAUGAGCGAAAGUUCAGAAAACAAAAAGCUAGACAAUAGAAGCUAGCCUGACUGGAGAUACAAUUCAUUGUCCUGGAUACACAUUUAAUCUGAAGUUUCUCUUUUCUUUCUUCCCCAUCUCUCAGCUCAAGCUUGAAGGAAAGAAGAGCAUACAAACAGACCCUCCAGGGCCAAAUGUGUACAGAUACUUGUGGCCUGGGAGCCAGGCGGGUAUGGUCCGCCAGCUAGUCUUGCUCAGGGGAGAGACCAUUUUUGUGAUCCUCAGGGCAGGCCUUGACUAAGGUCACAGGGGCUCAGCAUGUCAGCUGGUUGUGGGUAGCUCUCCUGGUAUUCAGCUUGCUUGUUUCCACCCAAGUAUAACCCUAGCAUCAGUCUGUCUACAAGGACCUUAACCUCUCAAAACAGCUCUCUCCACCCACCCCUCAUGCCUCCUGGGCUUAAUUCACCAAGCAAUUAACAGAGCAGCCACACAGACCACUGGGUUCCUAGUUAACUGCAGCUUUUAUGUUAACCCUACCACAUCUUCUUUGGAACAAAACAGGGACCCCCUCAACUAAAGGAUAGUGGCGCCCCAUGGCCCAAGAGUACCAGUCUUCAAAAGGCUUUCCCACAGAGCCCUGGAACCAGCCCCUCCAUGCUUCAAAGAAGACAAGGGAGCCCCCCCUCCCCCCAGACCACCCUCCAAGCUCAGAGCUUGCUUGUCCCUCACAAUCCAGUCCCCUGAGUCUUUUUCUCUGUGGCUGGGAGCUUUCUUGGCGCCAGAGUGUGCUCAUUAGAGAGGAGCAGGAAGGCAAGCAGAAGAGGAGGCAGCCACAGCCUUAAUACCAAAUCUCACAGACAAAGGGAGCUGUCCAGGGGAGCAAGGCUGGACCCUUGAACUUGGAUCCAGGAAUUUGUGCCAAGCCUCUGGUUCAAAGAGUUUCAGGAGUGGAAAGUGUCCGGUGGCUCUACCACCAGAUUAGAAAGAAGCCUUUGCCCUGACCAACCAUGAGCUGUCUUUCUCUGCUCUAAAUGCUCAAAGGCCGGCUGAUGUCUUUCCUUCCUUCUCCUUCACAGGAUCUUCCAGCUGCUCACGAUGUUUCCCUGAACAAACUGAGUGUCCAAUGUGUGUCAGACACUGCGUUAGCUGUUAGGGUGUACCAAAACCAAAUAGGGAGAGUCUCUGUGGCUUCCUUUUCCUGCCUGGCCCCAAACGCUCGCCAAGCCCAGUGAAGAGGCCAUGGAGGGUCUCACGAAAUCCACAAGAUUCUCACUGAUGUAACCAAAGAGCAGUCCCCAGACAUUUGGACCUCAGGGAAUCCAGGGCGCUGGAGGUGCGCGUGCGCAAGUGUGUGUGUGUGCGAGUGCGUGCGUGCAUAGGUGCAUGUAUGUAAGCACUGAGAGAAAUAAUGUGUGGUAGAGGAUGGCAAGACUCCAAUGAGAGGGGAGAGGAGGCUGGCAGGACUUGUAAAUAGUACUUUCAGAAUUUGCAUACCUAGAGUGGCUAUUGGACAAACUGUCUGCAACCUAUUCCCUAGGUGUUUGUGCCUAUGGCUAAUAGGAAGACAGACACUGAUGCAAUAGAUAAACAAACAAACAAACAAACAAACAAACAAACAAAGAAGAGUAAGAAAUAUCUCCUAACUUUCUGGAGCAUGGUAAAUGGCAGGGAGUAGCCUUCACACUCUGAAAGAUUGAAUUUUUUUUUCUCCUCUCUCAGAGGGUCAAGAAGCAAAAGCCAACGGUAAGAGAUGCCUGGUGACCAGUCUGACACCUUGGGCCCUAAAUUUAUUUUCUCAUUAAUAAAUGCGGUGGGGGCAGGGUGUUGUUGGAAGCAAUGUCUGUCUGCUUUAUAUCAACUCUUUUCUCCUCUUUUUUGGGGGGUGGGGGUGGGGAUUUUUUCCCCCUGCUCUAGACAGUGGCUGUCCGCGAGGAGACCAAGAGCAGAUGUUUCAUAUUUCAGGAAAGAGCACUCUCCCCUAAUUCCUGAAAGAUUCCUGAAAUUCCUAUACUUAACAAAAAUUAGCUACAGAGAAAAAAAAAUAAUUGUGAAUUAGGAGCCUACAGUGCCUCUGGGAGCCGAUGGCUUCUGUCAUCCCCCCCCCCAAGCUUUCGCCGCCGAGGCAGAUCUCUCUGCCUGCCGCCCAGUGGGCUCCAUGGAAAAAAAACCCAGUGUAGGCAGGCAGCUCUUGCAGCUACCGGGGAGUUUCACCAUAUUUCAUAACGGAGAUGCCAACCCUGAGCCAUAGUUUCCAAGAGCUGGAAGCAGGGAGUUCUAAGCUGGGUUCCAUCUUUUGCUCUCCUGGCCAGUUUAAGCAAUAGACAUCUCCAGGACCUCACCCACGUGACACAAGACUAUUUAACCAUCUCUCUUGUACCCAAGCAGAGAUGCAAGUGCCCACUAGUGAGCUAGCUACCUCCAGAACUAUAAAAGCCAUUCGAUUGAAAUCAUUCACAGCUGCCCGUUGUACUAACAAGCCUUUGUGGUAACCAUUAGACUGCCUCGCAUGUGAAGGUCAACAUUAGCGGGGCACCACACUGAGCUAGCCUGAGCUAUAUUCUCAAAGCCCUCUCAACCUAUGUGAGGUCCUUUUCCAUUCUGUAUAAAAGAUAUCAAAGCCUUUAAUCAUUCAGUAUUUAUUCAAUGAACAUUUACUGAACGACUGGCACAGUCCUUGGCACCCGCCGUGUGCUCAGUAAAUAUCUAGUGAAUAAUGAAUGAACGGUACCCAUCACAGAGAAGAAAAAGUGCAUGGCAAGCUGCCACCGCCCCAGAUCCUGAAUCCACAUCAGAAUCCACUAAUGGAUUCAAAUAUGCUUCUCUGAAGACUCUGGACUCAGAAUACGUAGAUUUGAUGCAUAGCAUGAAAUCUAACCUGCCCUUCCUGACACAAAGAUCAAGUACAUUUUGCCCCUGUUUUCAGGGAGCUUAUAGAUUACUGGGAGAAAGGCUGUAAAUCGGCAGUUGUAAUAGGUGUUAUGAGAGACACUGAGGAGCCCUGUGAAAGCCUGUGGCCUCUCUAGUAAAACGUGGGUGAGGCCACCACUCUCUAAUUCUGUUUGUUAGUGCUGGCUCUUCAAGUAUCUCUCCUGCCUCUCUGAGAAUCCCUUUUUCAUUCACUCCACUACCCUCCUUGCUGUUUCUACAUUGUUGGGGACCUGUUCUGUCCUUGUCUUCUUGGAAUAGACACUCUUGGAUCAUCAGAGUCCCCAUGAAGCACUCAGUGGCCACUUACACAGACAAGAUCAGAGCCUUGACUCUCACCUCCACAAGAAUACAAAUGCAGUCAUUACCAGCUCUUUAUAAAACAUGUCCACAUGGGCAUCUCACAAGACACUCAACAGCAGACUCAUAGAAGCCCUUUGCCCUUUCUGCACAGCUUCCCCUCAGCCCCUGACAACCUUCGUCUAUACUCUGCAAAGCACUAACAUUCAAAACUUUCAGCUUUCUUCCCCCUCAACACCCCUCCCCACCAGCAAACUUUGUAAGUAGAGCCUCUAAAACAGCUUCUGUAAUUCAUUUGUUUUACUGCCCCAUACCAUCUCACUUCUAACUGAUUUCUCCAUACCCCAGUAUCACCCCCUACUUCAAUCUGUCUUACAAGGAGACCCCAAAAUUACCUUAAAGCACAAACCCUACUUGUGUUGGCCCCACCACUUUCUUCCCGCAAGCCUCUCGUUCAAUAUCCCGUUUCCUUCAAGAUGGCAUGCUAAGACUGGCACAAUGUGACUCCAAUCAACUUGUGCCUGUCAUUCCCUGGACCUGUCAGUCAUGUGACUGCCUUUGUCCAUGCUGCACACUCAGGUCAACGUGCUACCUACCCAUCCUUUAGUUCCCCUUUCUAUAACAAUCUUCAUAAUCCAGAAACCCCAUUCUAUGUCCCCCUGGAAUUCUUUUCUGGUACCCCAUGGCAGAAUGAGCUACCCCAUCUCUGUAUACAGAUUACUUUACAAUUAAAAAAUAAAAAAAGGUUGUUCCAGAUAUAUGGUGAAGUUGAUGUGUACACAAGCUGUCUUAUAAAAUUCACAAGUAUCUUGAGUUUCUGUGUGGAAAUAAAACAGUAACUUUCAUUCAAUAAAUAUGAAGUCCUUGUCAUGGGGCAAGGUUGGAGCAACACCACGAAGUCCCUGCUGUCACAGUGGGAAUGGCAGACAACAGGCAAUGUAAUGUAUGACUACAAGGCUCGAUAGGUCCACUGAUUUGCUACAGGGACUGGAAGAUUAAAAAAUACAUUUUACAUAUUCUUUAAAAAAGAAGUUAUAACUCUUGAAUAAUAAAGACAAUCUUUAAACCCUUUAAAGCUGCAAGGGAUUGGUUUGACCCUACACACAAGUCUUCAUGUUUGCAGUCAGCAAUUUGUUUAUUGCUAUAAAAAAGACAGGGGCAAUAAAACCUAAACAAUUUAAGGACAUUAGGAGAAUGGCGUGAAUUACCAAAGGGGUCUAUGUUUAUAGAAAUUCAGUGAAAAAUAAAAUCUUAAAACUUUAUGAGACAUGAACACUAAUCACUAAUAAACCGCAUCUACAAAGAGGCACCAUCAAGACCUGCUUUUCAGUUCAGGGUAUAAAUUAGACUUUGUAUGUAAAUAAAUGCUCUUUACUUUAGAAAGCCUUUGAAGUUUAUUUCUUUCAACUGGCUCUAUACACCCUGGAGCUACCUCGAGUACAUAAACCCAGCACCCUACACAUUUAAAUGCUCAAUAUUUAUUUAAUAAUUUAAUCAUUGUAUUAUUUAUAGACCUAGUCAACUGCUUUUUAUAAAAAGGCUUUAUUAAUCACCAACAUUUUAAACCUAGGGGCUUGAAUUGAUGGGAUUAUAUGGUACCUACUUUAAAAAAGAGAGAGGCAUAACAUAUAAUAUACAUGUGCAUAUAUAAUAUAUACUUACAUAUUAUAUUAAUUUUAGGUAAACAUUAAAUAAUGUUUUCACAAAUGCUUUCAUGCAUCCUUACUGUUAUUUAUAUUUCUUCUCUCCUUCUGUAUUACCCUCCCUAUUCAGUUAAAGAUGUUUCCUCUACCUCCCUACCUUCAUUUCCAUAUUAUCCCCUUCAUAGGACCUGGGUCCUGCUAGUCCCUUCUUUAGAGUUCCUUCUUCAUCCCCGUGGUUCAUACUUCCUUUCCUGGUUUCGGCAGUUACUUCAGGUUCCAUACACAUAUCUAAAGAUUUGGAACUAGGACCCACAAACAAGGAAGAACACACCAUGUUUGUGGUUCUGAAUCUGAACUACCUUGCUCAAUGCAAUAUUUUCUAUUUCUAGCCAUUUAAAUGCCAAUCUCAUGAUUCCAUUUUUUUUUCUUUACGGCUGAACAGAAUUCCUUCUGUGUGCACACCAAGUUUUCAUUACCCGUUCGUCAGCUGAAGGACACCCAGGCUGUUUCCAUUUCCUAGCUAUUGUGAAGGAAGCAGCAGUGAACAUGGCUAAGCAAGGAUCUAUGAACAUUACACCAUCCACUCCAGGUGCUAAUGCUCUCCCUCAGAGCUGGAAACUGUCUGACAGAAACAACAGUCCCAGGCAUGAAAAACCUCCUUCGGAAUUGUUGGCCAGGAAAGUCCUAGAGACCCACACAAUUGCCAUUGCCCUUGGCUGCCCUCCUGUCCCCCCAGAAUUUGAAGGUACCCAUGUUCUUGAAGACAUCAGGACUUGCAAGAAUCCUAGCUGAGUCUGACUUAGAAGCCUCCUUUCUGAUUUCUCAGAGAACCUCAAGGUGCUAUGCAAGCUGCCAACAGCGAAACACAAUCAGCUGUGGCUAUGAGGCCUAUGAAUCGCAGCAAUGACCAGCACAGCAAGACAUUCCUAAAUGUUCAACGGCAGCACAUAUAUCUUGACAGUCGCCAAUAGCUGCCUAUUUGGACUGGAGACCCACUUAACAGAAGGGAAUUCAGGUCUGGUCUUGUAAAGCUAGCCAGCUACCUGUAGCAAGUAAGGCCAGCAGAGAACACACCAUUGCCUCUUUCCCAAACCAGUAUAAUUUCUAACAGCAUUCUAAAUACUAAUUCUUCUUAUAGCCACAGGUGCAGCUCUCACCUCUUAUCAAAGAAAUUCCUUUUUGAAGCCAACUGAGAUCAUUAGAGAAAUCCCCAUAGGUUCAGAGAAUAUGGUAUCCGGCUACAACUGAAUCACUUACAACAGAACUCUACCCAGAAGGCUCAAGGAACACUGUGGAAGAGGAGGUGGAAAGACUGUAAGAACUGGAGGACCAGAACAUCUGCUGUAAGGCUGUGUCUCGUAUAUAUGACAGGAAGUCCACACCCAUAUAAUCUUACCAAUAUGGCUGCCUAAAGAAGACCGGAACUAUGACAAUAGCUGUUGACUCGUCCACGGAUGGGGAACUCUCACAAGGCCCCACACCUAAAUGGAAAUUUACAGACAGUGAUGACUGCUGAGAGAGAGAGAAUCAGUCUUUCCCAAGGAUGAACCUCAUAAUCGGUUAUCCAAUACCAAGUGGUCAGAUUCAUAGACGCAAUACUAAACAUUCCCAGCAGGUUGCACUUGCAAAUUUUUAUGGAUGUAUAUAUGUAAUAAGAAUAAUCAAAGAAUAAAAGGCCAUGCACACAAGAUGGAUGGGAGGAGGGACACAUAGGCAAAUAAACAAUUUGUUGAAAGAAGAGGAAGCACGCUAGAGGGACAACUUCCAAGCCUUGGGAACUGAGUUCAAGCCCGAGAAUCCACAUUCAAAAUGAGGUUUGCAAAGGCCAGGCCUGGUAGUGCCUGUGCUUGCCAUCCCUGCACAUCCCCUUGAGCGAGAGACCUGUCCUUCCUUGCUACAGGUGUUUCUAAUUUUUUUUUCCUGAAGAGAGAAGCAGAAGCUAAGGUCACAAUCCAGCCUGCCCAAAUUAUCCAUAUGAUGGUCCAGGACCCGGCUGGUGAAUCCGAGAGGAUGAAAUGCCAUCCCACUAUAAAACAAAAGCUUUUCAGCAAACAUUUUGCCUCUCUGCUCCUCUCCAACUCUUAUCCCUGCACUGGGCUAAACCCCUGCUCACCCUCAGAUGCCUGAGACCUGCGUCCUUGUGUGUGCACGUGUGUGUUCCCACAUGGCACUUCACGUGUUAACAGGCCUUUUACCACUAUGGAAUGCAGGAGGAUGCAUCUCUUGUCAAUCUCCCUUGGUUAGUGCUUUUCAUUCUUUAGGUGGGAAGCAACUAUGCUUCCUCUGGAAAUGCAGUAUUUCACAAAUGAGGGAGGAAAAAAAAGCCACCUCAGUCCUUUUUCAUAGGGGGAGGUCAUAGGAAAUGUCUCAAAGGAAUGACUCAGCUCUGUGCCAAGACCUGUUUCCUACUUACUGCUAAGACUUCUUCCUAUUAAAACUUAAUGCAGUCUUCUCUGGCAGCUCAUUUUGUUUGCCAAGUCCUUUUUGAUAAGUUAUUUAUUCCAGUCAUAAGUGGAUUGCUUAAGCAUUGCCUUACAGGACAGAGUAGGAUGCCACUUCCAUUCCUGAUUCUUGGAGGACUGAAUUGUUAGCUCCAGUGGCAAGCUGCUGUCAUGGAGUCCUUUCUUGAAUAGCUGGACAGCCUAGUAUACAACAGGCACUCAAUACAUACUACUACUAAACGCGUGAAUGAAUUAUUAUCAGAGUGAAAGGUACAUCAGAUGUCAUACGGAAAAUGUGGAGGAAUGAGAGCACUGCAGGAUUUCGAUGGAAAUGGAUUUAUCUGCAUGGCGCAGUGCAGAUAAAACAGGUUAGCCCAUAGGCAAAGAGCACGCAUAGUGUGGCCCUCCACAUCAGGCAGCAUGUGCGAUCCAGACUCUCUCACUGUAAAAUGGGAGUACCAUGGGAGCAAAGGGUGCCCAAAGUGCCCUGCACAGUUACUAGUACAUAGUGUCUUCAUAGCAUCACCUGUACAGGUACAGCUGCAUGUUUCCUAAAUGACAAGGCACAUGGCAUAUCCAGAUUAAAACUCAACACGUACAGAGUUGAGGCUUCUAGAAAAUACACUGAACCCAAGGAAGCCACAUGUGGAUGUUCUUCAUACGAUUCAUCAUCACAAGCCUUUUCUUGGUUAUAAAAGAAUUUUCAGUAAGGCUCAUAUUUUAACUUGGAAGUUUAUCCUUUAAAGUAUGUAGUGCUGUGUGUGCCCCAUAUACUGCAGCUUUAAAACCAUUCCAGAGUGACUCACACGCUCUCUGAGAAAUACGUGCCUACGUUUCCUUCAUAUCUCGCUUCGAGUUUCUAUUUUCAUUUAAUGGUAUAAAUGUAUCAGCCCUCUGACGGUCUUACAUCUGGACAGACGCCAGGACGCAGCUACACUGUUCUCUCCUAUUAAUUUCCAAUCCACGGACCAGAGCUGCAAGGUCUCUGCUGCGGUUAGCUGAAGCAUUUAUUCAGAAUGACUGUCUUUUACGUGCAUUAAUUCCAGCACUGGCUUAAAGAGAAAGAAAUGAGACAAACAUACACAAAGAAGAAAGUUUAAAAGAAAAGAAAAAUAGAAUAAACUCUUUUGGCUCUGUCUCAUGCAGGAAAAGAAAGAAAGGCUGCUUUCCUGGCCUCAUUAAACACUGUGUUCCUCCUAGCUGCUUUUCGAAAAACCCAAAAGGAUGGGGGAGGAGGAGGUUUAGAAGACAGAAUGAGGUGAGCAAUAAAGAAGGUAAGAGGGGAAAAAAAAAAAAAGAACCCGAAUGGCUGUGGAACAAACCAGAGGGGGAGGGGCAAGAAAAAGAAAGAAGAAAGGAGAGCUGAAACCUGACACGCAGGAACUCGGGCCUCUAGCAAGCAACUUCUUGGACUGAAAACCUGCCAGCCUGAGGGAUGUGGAAUGGUUCCAAUCCCAGCCUUCAUUAACGCUUCAUAUACCCGGUCCCUAAUUUACGGCCGUUUAACAGCAGACAUUCUACAAGUACCUUCGGGGACCUCUGAGGACAGAAGAAAUCUAAGAGAAAUUACAUGCCCAGGGAGCUCUCUCAAAGGCGAAAGCCCUCCUGUGCAAGGCAACAAUUUAGUUGCAUUUUUUUUAUGGUGUCUGUUGGGGACUUGCAACAGACAGAGCCAGUGGGGAGUGAUGGCUGUUGGGGACGCCUGGAGAUGUGGGACACAGGACAGGUGGACAGAAGCUCUCAGUGAGAGUUGUUCGUGAGUGGGGCAAGGAAUGUGUCUAUGCGAAGGAACGUGUAUAUAUACAUAGCUGUAGGCAGGGGUUUCUGGCCAUGUGACCAAACUUUUAAAAGUAAUUUAAACAAAAAAAAGGACAAAAACAAAAUUGAAGAGGAUGCUUUCCUUGAGUGUUGAGACCUUUUUUUUUUUUUAAAGAAAAGAAGAAAAUUGGGGAAAAAAAGUGGGAUCCAGAGGUAAACUCAGAUCCUGAAAUCCGGUGAAGGGAGAGGCAGGGUGGUACCCACCAAGGCCAACCUCAGUAAUCAUUUCUAUCAUUCUCUCAAGUUUCCUCCUCAUCCGUCCUGCAUGGUGCACAUCACAGCGUGUAAUGAAGCAGGACCUAGAUCAGGUCAGGUGGCUUUCUCUGCCAAGGCCAAAAAGUGAGGGACCAAAGGAUCUAUCUCCGCAAAGACUCGGGAGUUUGGGAAAACAGACUGGAGUCCCUCUCCUCUGACAGCAACAGGAGGGUGCGGCAAGGGAAGCUGGCCGGAUUACCUUUCAACUAACAGCUUUCCUAAAUGGGUCUGUGGAUUAGUAUUCUAAAGGCUGAGGGCUACAUCACCAUCCGUGGGGCAGCUGAAUGGAGUCAGGCAGCUCUCAGCCAGACAAGGAAGGACGUGGUUUCAGCCCCUCAGGAGGAAGAAGCUGUUUCCAGUCCCUCUAGAAUGGGCUUCAAGGAAUGCUAAUCUUCUGAGUAUACAGUGUGUAAACCCAUGUCUUUUCUAGAGCAACUAGGAAAUAGGUAAAAAUAGCUUAGAGUGAAGCAAGUAGCCCUGGCUGGGAAUGGGUUUGACUACUACCUGGAGCCAGGCAACACCAUAAUCUGAUUCCAAAGGACUCAAAACUGUCCUUCUACAGCAGUAAGAUCACGCACGGACUCCCUCUUUCCCAACUCGUCUCCAAGAGAGCCUGUGUGUACUCUGCUCUUGAGAGAUGGCUCCCAGCUGCAACUGAUGUCCUUUUCCAGUAGAUAAGACAAAGGCUUGGCAAAGUCACUGUGCCUUUUAGUACUGGCUUAGCUGAGAGUAAACUGGGACUUCGUGAAAUCUCUAGUGGUUGUUCAGGGCCUCAGUAGAGCCCUGUUACCUUCACCCUUUCAUUAUCUUUCAUAGCAACCACAGGGCUUUUACUAGCCCAGGGCCAGCUGCUGAACUCCAAAUCUGACCCAGUUAAAAAGCAGUUAUUCACCUCCACAGAUAUUCACCUCCAAGUCUGUCCCAUAAGCAGAAAGAUCCAAUUUUAAAGAAUGUGAAAGUUCUGCCGGAUCAACUGCGUACAUGUUAGUUGUGUGGUUUGGUCCAUAUCUGGGCUGUCCUUCAUCCUGAGACUGGAGGGGAACGUGUAGGAGAUUGCCACCCUACCUUAGAGGCGAAAUUGAGAGUCAAGAAAUACAACAAGCAAAGGGUCCUACAUAUAGCAAGCCCUUAACCAUGGUUGAGUGAUGCUGGGACAAGAAGGCCUGUGGUACCUCAGCAAAGGAAAGGCCUUUCAGCCCUGUUUGCUCUGCAUAGCCAAAGAAGAGAAGGAUUACUGGCUGAGUUGUUGUUGCUGUUGUUGUUUAGCAGACCAGUUAGGUUCUUAAUAGUAAAACAGUGGGUAUUUGUGUGUAUAUGCACAUGUGUGUGUGCCCUGGAAUCUAGACGGUUGAUGUCUCUCCAGUCACUCUGAGACAGGAUCUCCCAUUGAUCCUGAAGCUCACAAAGGCAGCAAAACUAGUUACCCAAAGCUCUAUGAUUCUUCAGUGUCUACCCUCCCAGGACUGCCUGGCUAAGGCUACUGAGAUCAGCUGCUUACCUAGGUCUUGGAGACUAAACUCAUGCUUGCCAGGCAAGUAUUUUAUCAAGUGAGCUAUCUCCCUAGCCCUACCUUUAGAGUCUCUCUUCCUCACUUAGGGAAAUCCUGACAUGUGUAUUGGAUGCAAAAGUCCUCCCGAUUAUACCUAGGUCAAGCAGCUCUGGAGCUCUAGGAAGCAAGAACACCGGUAGCCGUUCACCUUGGGAAAGGCUGCCCACACUGCUCAGAUGACGGCAGGCUUGGCAGUGCCCUUUAUCUGGCAUCUGGGAGCUAAAAUUUGCUUUGGAAAAGAAUUCUUCCUGGAGUUGUAGCUGCGUACAUAACUGCCUUCAACUUUUGUCGACUGGUAUCAAAAGAACACAGAAGCUUGUUAAGAAAAGAGAGAAAAUGGGCUAGGGAGGAGCUUCCCAGGCUAGCAAAGCAACAGGAAAAGUGAAACAACAAAGAAGAGACAUUCAGAAUGUACUUCCUAGCCUCUCAACCUGGGCAGCAGGCCUUCUGAAGGGUUGUGCUCACUGGGUCCAAGUUUCCUAAGUAUUGCUACUAUUUAACAGGCCUGGAAAGUGACGAGCAUCCUCGGAGUCACCUAGUCUAAACCCCAUUCCUACUUGUCCCCAUCCUUACUUGUGCCCUUCUGCCUUCCUCAGAUAUAGAGGGACAGAGCCACUCUAGGCAGCUUCUGUAAGACUCAACCCUUAAUAAUAAUAAUAAUAGUAAGUAAUAAUAAUAAUGUAAAGGGUUUGAACUAUUAGCUCUUCUUCAGAAAGGAAUGAAAAUAAAGAGAAGCCACUGACAAAAUAUUCACAUAGGAAUACCAUGAUAAAAAUAUGCCCAGCACUUGUGAGCUUUCCUGAAAGAAAGAGAAGAGAGACAAACUCACUUGAGGAGGCCUAAAGAAAGGGAGACUGUGGAUCCCCCAACAAGGAACUAGGACUGGUUCAUAGUAGCAUCAAAGAGGAGCAAAGGUAAGCAGUGAGGUUAGAUAUGGUCUCUAUAGGAAUCUUGGAAAAGAAAUCAGACUGUCUGGGCUACCUGCAAAAAUACCUUUCCAAAAAAAAAAAAAAAUCAGAAGUUAAAAAAAAAAAAAAAAGGAAUGUAUAUGGGGAUUGGAGGGACAAAUGGCCCAUCAAGAGGGAUAGGUGGGACAGGCUAGAGCCAGGACAAACCAGUAUUCAAAGACAAGCGGGGGCCAUCCCUGUGGCUAACCCCAGGCAAUCCAGCCUGACUUCCUUUUAUGUAAAGGGGAUAAUGAGACCUCUCCUUCCAACCUCCAGGUGGCUUUAAAGGUCAAAUCCAAGCAUAUAAAUGAAAUGUGCUGUGUAGUUCAAGGCACCACACAAAUGUCAAGCUAUUUCAGGCACGAGGCUCUUGAUGAAAAAUGUGGCUACCCAGGUAGCCCUUCAAAAGUGGGGAGGAUAAAAGCAGCAGAGCAUUGUGGGUAAGGGUGGAGCUCACUGCCUAGAAAGGGUAGGAAUGAAUGCCAUGGCCAGAUGGGAUCAGAUUUUUCCAAGAGUUUACCACAGACUGUGGUAGGCUCCAAGUCUUUAGAAAGGUCCUGGGACGUUCCUAUGCUCCUGAGACAGACCUCUAAGGAUGAGCUCAGAGAGUGUCCAGUGACCAUCUUUAUGUGUUGGAGCAGAGAGAUGCAUACCAGAAUCUUACGAUUAUGGAAGGCAAUGGUUUAGCCCCUCCAGAUCCCAGCCAUGUGUGACAACUGAUAUCUGUAAUUCCAAUCCUGGAGAGGCAGAAAUAGAGAGAUGCCUUGCUAGCUCCAGGUUCAAUAAGAGACUCUCUCAAAAAGCCAAUAAAUUGGAGUGACUGGGGAAGCCAGAUCUUUUUUUUUUUUUUUUUUUUAAAGAUUUAUUUAUUUAUUAAUUAUAUGUAAGUACACUGUAGCUGACUUCAGACACUCCAGAAGAGGGCGUCAGAUCUCGUUACGGAUGGUUGUGAGCCACCAUGUGGUUGCUGGGAUUUGAACUCCGGACCUUCGGAAGAACAGUCGGGUGCUCUUACCCACUGAGCCAUCUCACCAGCCCCGGGAAGCCAGAUCUUAAUCUCUGGCCUUUAUAGGCACACACACAUGCACACGUGCAUCAAUACACAUAUGCAAGAACAUGUGAAAACACACAUCCACACACAAAGAUGAUUUCCAGAGUUUAUAAGCCACAAAUUCAACUCAAGCAUAACAUUUACAACAUGGUGAAAGACCCCAACACAAAGACCAUACAAAAUUGGUAUGUUUUGUUUCCUUGCUGUUUUUGUAGCCAAGGAUAGCCACUCUCAUCCACCUGAGUACUUCAGCCUUAGAAUACUGGAAUUAGAAACCUGUGUUACUAUACUCAGUUAAAAUUUGAAAUUCUGAAAAAUAAAGUCCUAAAAUGUGGAAGAUCCUUGAGGUCCUUUGAAUGAAAAUGGACCCCACUAGGCUCCUGAAUGCUUGUUUCCCUAGUUGUUAGAACUAGAAUGGGGAAGGAUUAUGGGGUGUGGCCUUUUUGGAGGAGGUAUGUCACUGGGGGUAGGCCUAGAGAUUCCAAAAGCCCAUGCCUGGCCCAGUCUCUCUUUCUCUGCCUUCAACUUUCAGAUAAGAUGAUGUAAGCUCUCAGCUACUGCUCCAAUGCCAUCCCUGGCUGCCAGCUGCCACUCUUCCUGCCAUGGUGCACAUGAACUCACCCUCUUAAACUGUAAGCAAGCCCCCUGUUAAAUGCUCUCUUUUGUAAGUUGUCUUAGUCAUGAUAUCACUUCAGAGCAACAGAAAAUACUUAAAGAAUUCAAGAGGGGAAAGCAGACACCAUGGCCUCUUUUCAAGAAAGCAACAUUCAGAGGCCUAGGGAUUUAGUUGGCUGGUAGACUCUAGGCAUACAUAAGAUCUGGGCUCAGUCCCCAGCACUUCAGAAACACAGCACAGAGUAUGCACCUAUGUCACUCAGGAGAUGGAGGCAGGAGGAUCAGAAGGCCAAGUUAUUUUAGGCUAUAUAAAGAGUUUGAGGCCAACUUGAGCCACAUGAGACCCUUUCUCCAAAAUGGAAGGAAGGAAGGGAGAAAUGAAGGAAGGAAGAAAAAUGGAAAUGGCACCAGAGUCAUUACAGGUGGAGGAAACAACAAGAGUGCACAGACCCUCUGAGGGCCAGUGGAAGAUUAGGCAAAUUCUUAUUCUUUGGUUAUAAUCAGGAAGUGUGGUAGAAAAUUAUCUCUGGGACUUGAAAGAUAGUUCAGCGGUUAAAAGCACUCAUAGUUGUUUUUCCUGGGAUUGGGAGUUCAAUUUCCAGCACACAAGGCAGCUCACAACUUUCUGCAAUCCAACGCUAAGUGAUUUGAUACCCUUACAUAGACAUACAUGCAGGCAAAACACCAAGGCAUGCAUAUAUAUAUAUAUGUGUGUGUGUGUGUGUGUGUGUGUGUGUGUAUAUAUAUAUACAUAUAUAUAUAUAUAUAUAUAUAUAUAUAUAUAUAUAAAACCAAAAAAGAAAAUGAUCUCUGUAACUCCCAAACUGCUCUUCUGUGAAACCAUCAGACAAAGGAAGCUACACUGGUCUUUUUGCAAGCAGCUCCUUUCAAUGCUCAUCCUUUCAAUGAGAAAGCCAUCAGCUCCAUUCCUUCCAUGAAAGACAAGUUGAGAGAAGAUAAAACAUAGAAGGUUCUUGGAGACCUCAUCCUGGAAAGCCUGGGUAUGUUACUAGAAGCAGUAGAGGUGACAAAGACCAUAAAGAAUCACUCCUUGAAAGAAAUGUGACGCAGGACAUCUAUAGAACCAAAGAAAGCACAACCAACAAGAACUCCAGCUCAGCUGGGCAGUGAUCCCAGCAGAGGCAGGCGGAUUUCUGAGCUUGAGGCCAGCCUGGUCUACAGAGUGAGUUCUAGGACAGCCAGGGAUAUACAGAGAAACCCUGUCUCAAAAAAAUGAAAAUGAAGACAAAGACAAGAAAGAAGAAGAAGAAGAAGAGGAGGAGGAGGAGGAGGAGGAGGAGGAGGAGGAGGAGGAGGAGGAGGAAGAGAAGAGAAGAGAAGAGAAGAGAAGAGAAGAGAAGAGAAGAGAAGAGAAGAGAAGAGAAGAGAAGAGAAGAGAAGAGAAGAGAAGAGAAGAGAAGUCAAGUCCAGCUCAAGGCCUAAACCCCAGAACAAGACUUAACUGCCUUCCUAUGCAAUGAAUGGCAUGGAAUCAAAGGCUUGGUGCACACAAACAGACCCAAUGCACACAAGGCCUUUUGGUCUCAUCCCCUAGCUACACUAUCCACCUGCACAGCGUUGUCUUGGCCAACACACUUUCUUUCAGCCCUGUGUUCCUUAGAAAAUAUAUUUCUUUUAAUUUUUUAGAAAAGUUGAGCAACAUAAGUUAAGAGAGAGAGAGAUUAAUGCAGUGACAGAAUGUGGCAGCCUAUAAUGACAGAAAGAACACUGUAAUUCUUAAUAUUCUAUGAAGGCGAUCACUACUAUUCCUAUAUUAUAAUGCAGACACCGAAGAUCAAAUGUUAACUCAGUUGUUAAAAUCAAGGUAAAUGAAACAUUUGCUCCUUAAACUGGUACUCUUUCUGCUGACUCAAAGAACCUAGCUUAUUGUGAGUCUAGAUUGAUGAUACUGAUAAUAUUCAGUCUAUUAAAAAAUGCAAAGAAUACACAUGUCAUAGAAAUAGGUCAGCAUAUUCACCAAAACAUAAUGUCCCCAGACACUGUCAAAUAGUCUAUUUGUGGAAAAAAAUCAGUCCUAUUGACUGAUUGGGCACAUUUUCAUCAUGCAGGAAUGUAGCCCAGUUUUACCAGGUAACAACCUGGAUUUGUGGGUCAAUUUGAAACCCUUCUGUUCUCUCUGCCUUGACCUUUCUACACAGGAAAAAAUUUCAGGGACUACUCUAGCCAUUAAAGAUAUGGAAUGCACCCAUGAAUUACAAGUCUAACAUUACCUAUACACCAAAACAUAAUAUUGUGACCAAUUUCUUCCUGUAUUUGUUCUUUAAAACUCCCUCUAACUGGGCAGAAGCAACACACUUUCUUUCUUGGGAAACUGAACAUUGCAUUUUGCUAAUCUAUGUUCAGGGUGCCAUAUUAGACUCUACCAAAGCCCUAAAAAUUAUAACCUUUGGACUGAUUUUUGUCAGCUGUAUUUCCCCAGGAUGUAUUUUUCCUAGCUAGUCCAGGCCGGUUAUCUCUUCCUGUCAUCCUUUUCUUAUGAGGCCAUUUGGAGGGACAAGGACUAACUCUGUGUUCUUUAGUGCACCUUUCAUCCAGCUGUUGAUUAACACUAAAUAAUAAUGAUGGUUAUAAUAAUGGCUGUCAAUAAUCAUAACCUUGACCAUCAUCGUCAUAAAUAAGACUUCCCACUGGAGUUUUCCCGAAGCCAGCGCAGUGCAGGCACUAACUACGAUUGGAUGGGUUUGGAGAUUUCCUGGGCGAAGCUCAGCUCAGCUCAGCUGGGUGGUGACCCCGAAUCAAAUAAUCAGCAGCAGCACACUGAAGAUGGGCAAAGGGCUCAUCCUCUCUUUAGGGAAGAAAAGGUUCCCACUGUCACCAUCUAGCCAGGUAACUGACCUUGUUUUCCAUGCUCAUCUUAGCUGGAAGAAGCAUUGUUCAUGUCAUCCUCAAUUGCUUUAUGGCCAGUUUUUCACCAUGGGACCAUUAUUGAAAAUCGCUCUCCUGGCACUGCCCACGUGGCAUACUAGAAUAACUUCCCAAGGGCACUUCUCAUGGUUUCCAGAGAUUUGGGGGUUAAAAACAAAUAAUACUUAAAUCCAUAGCAACGUGCAAGGGAAGUUCAGGGUGGUGAUGAUUCUAUUCUGUGGCUUUCUGCAAGACAGAAAAUUCAUGGCUUCCUACAACCCUACAUCACUGCUAUGGUGAGGAAUCAGCAAGCUCUCUCAGUCACUGCAAAGAAUAAAACAGAAUUCUGGGCACAGACAUAGGGCUGUUACAAGGCUGACCAAGAGUGAAGCCCUCCCCUAGCCUGAGCCAGAGUAUCACACACUCAGAGCCCUGUAAAAAUGACGGGCAGGUCUGGCUUCUUGGUCUUCCUGACAAAGGAUGAGUGAACGCAUACAAAAAAAUAAAGAACUACAGCAUGACUCAAGACAAUAAAAGUUUUUGUGAGUUCACCAUACUUCUGAGAGUAGUGUCUAAAUAUUAUAAAGUCCAGUAAAAGAAUUUCUAGCCACUUGUGACUAUUAAGUACUUAAAAUAGCUGAGAUUAUGUAAAAAUACACACCAAAUUUUAAAAUCCUAAUCCAGAAAAGAACACAAAUAUUCUUGAAUAACUUCUAUCGUAGUCAAAGGUUAAUAAUAUGUUAGAUGUAUUGUAAUAUAUAUUAAAAUUGAUUUCCCACGUUGCCUUUAUUUUGGGAAUGCAGCACUUAAAGUUUUCAGAGUUUAGAGUUUCAACUUAAGUUUCAAGAAACCGACUGUCCUUUCUGCAGUGAUUUUCCCCAGCUGAAGCAGAGGUGUAAGGGGCAUUUACACCUCUGCAUAUCUAAAUGGGGCUCAAGUCACCUUUGAUGUGUGGGGACAAACAGAAGGAAGUUGAAAUAACCACUUGCUGUGCAAACUGAGUUAUUAUAGAUAUAACACUACGCCAUGAGUUCCCAGGAGAUCCAGUAACUGGAACAGCAGGGGAGAGAGAACAGGAGGAAGGUGAGAAGAACAAGGUCUCCCAAGGAAGGAAGCAGCAGCCCCACAUGCACAACACUGAGGAAAGUAAGAGCAAUGGAGACCCGAGAGCCCGGAGAGACACUAAGACAAGGGAAGCAAGCGCCUGCACCAAGGUAGGUAGGGGUCAUCUUUCUCCCCAAAGCACAAAGGUGUAGUUUAGGAAAAAGCUAAGAGGUAAAAAGGACAAGGAGCUGGACAGACAGGUUAGCUGUUAAGAGCACUGGCUAUUGUUCUAGGGGUUCAAUUCCCAGCACCCACAUGGUGGCUUACAGCUGGCGAUAACUCCAGUUUCAGGUAUUCUGAGGCCCUCUCCUGGCCCUGAAAGGCACCAGGUACGCAAGAGCUGCACAGA